CCCCAAGCGUACUGGAACACCCCCGUCCCUCCCACGAUGGCCCGCUCCGACUUCCCGGACGCGUCCAGUCUCCCGAUCACCGUGAGAGUGCUGUUGACGAACUUCCCCGCCGUGAACACCAGCACCAGCGGUACCAGCAUCACCUCCUCCCGCAUUGAUACGUGGAAGCCCGCGCCCUGCACCCUUCCGAGGAAGGUGGAGCUUUCGUCGGGGCCGACCCUCAGCACGGUGUCGUAGAUCUCGAUGUUCCCGAAGGUGUAGGGGAGGCUCAUGUUCACCACGGUGACGGUGGUGUUGUCGGGACCGAUAAAGGUCUCGUGGAAGUAGACGCGGAAGUGGAUUCUCUUCUGGAUGCCGAGUUCGAACUCGGAGGUGACCGGGAAGGCCGUGGCAGCAGCCUGGAGGAGGAAGAAGACGAGGAGGAAGUAGAGAUGAGUGGAGCUGUGUGGGGAUGAAGCCAUGGCUAGGAUGACACAAGGAUCGAAGUGAGGUGGGUACAACGCUGGAUCAGGAACAUGUGUUUAUAGAGUAAUGUCUGCGCCAUGCGUCGUUGACAAAUACCAACUUUCAUAAACAUGUAAACACCAUGCCACACGGAGAUGGAAGAUGGAAGAUGGAAGUAAUAUAGAUAAUCUUGAGCAAUGAAGAUGGAUAACUGAGAGAUCGAUGAUAGUUGCAAGCAGUGGCCAAUGAGGAUAGUGUUGCGUCUUCUGCUAGUGUCAACUGGCCACAUGUAACUCAUGAAUUUGUCUUUUUCUUAACCAACCACAUCGUUCGAUGAUAGUUGCAAACGUUGACAUAAUGCAUGUCAACGUUUCCAUGUGAAUAACACCCACAUAAUCCUUCACCUAUCAAAGGUGUGAUCGGUUGACAAAGUUCAUCAUUAUUAUGUAAGGUACAUUUAUAUUAGAGGAUCGUCAAAUGCCAGUGCAUGUCAUGGUACUUUUCAAUGUGCAUAAUUGACACAAACUGUGUGGAAUCUCUCCCUCUUACUUGCCCCUUCACACAAUGCAUUUCUUUAUCAACAUAUGUUUGCUUCACCUGAGUCAACUGUUCAUGUGAUCCACACUAAAGCCUCCGUCGGUUCAGCAAAAUCGGCUAAUUGUCGUUACUUAAUGUUGAAAAUUGAUAACAAGUCUUUGUAAGACUAUCAAUUAAGAAUUUUGCACAUUUAGUCUCAAGUUGAUUAGAGAUUUAAAGAGUCAAUAGCUAAUGAAGAAUCAAAUAUCUUGAAAGGCAAAGAACCGGUCCUACUUAACAAUUUAUUAACAUUAAAAGAGCUCAAGAUUAAUGUUUUUUUUUAUUGAGGUAAAUAAUUUGUGAAAAAUAAGAGUAUUAUUUUAGACAAAAUAAGUAGUAAAAAAGAGGAUCAAAUUGAUUAACGAAACGUGGCAUGUCCACGAAUCUUAAAGCAUCAGAUUGCAUCAGUAACUAGCGACCACCAAAGCAGUCUCCACGGUGAGAAGGGGGAAAUGACGAUGUGAAGAAUCGCAGAGGCGGCUCUCCUCUUUGUCCUCCUCGGUGGCAACGAGCGCGAUUUGGUGAUCAAGGUCCGAUCACUUACGAUCCCUUCUCGUCCAAUUUUCCCAAUCUUGGUUAGAGUUUUAAUUUGAUGGAGUGCUUGACGCCGUCUUGUAGUUUUGAUGUCAAUUUCUUGGUGCGAUCUACUGUUCGAUCAGAAUCUUUGAUGGGUCCUAGCCGAUGAUCAUGCAACCUAGUUGCUCUAUGAUCAACGAAAACGAAACCUAAUAUUAUAGUUUCUUUUUCCUCUCAGUUUAGAUUCACUUCUUCCCCUUGAUCACGCAAGUAGUCGAAGCUUAACUGCAGGAAUUGUUCGAGUUUUUUUCACGUAUUUGAGCUUUUUGUGUCGUAACCUACUACGUUUUCUUGAUUUUAGACUGAACUAGGCUUUGCACUUGGUUGCUAUAUAUGCAUUCAAGAUAAUACUCUUGCCAUCAAAUCAUUGAAUUAUGUGGGGAUUAUUCAUCGAACAGAUUCCCUUUAAGUCGCAUAGUCUUUUGUUCCUUUCCCUGGUUCUGUUGCUUGUUGCAUAUCUUAAGUACAUUACUGUUUCCUAUGUCUGCAUCUCAUGUAUUUCACGUUAUCCAAGCAAGAAAUUUGUCAGAUGUGCAUGAUGUUCAACCAAUUGAUCUAAUAAACGCCAACUUUAUCUACACAUCAAUUGAAAGAAAAGAACAUCUUAUCAUUAUUCCAGUUUCACAGCUAGAAAGUAGUGAUGCAUCUGAAACUGUAGCUGUAUGUGAAAAUUUCGGCAAGUCAGGUAAAAGAAGUAAGUAUUAAGAAGGAAAUGUAUUGGUACCCCUUCCAAUAAGGAGAUAAUAGUUAAACAAGUUGCUAUCGAUUAAACUUAUGGGUCAUAUAAUUUAGACCUUUUUAGGUCUCGUCUACAUUGUUAGUUGUUAUCAAGGAAGUAACUAGCAAUUUAUUGUGAUUCAUGAAUUCCUUUGCAUAGGAUGGAUUUAAUAAUGUUGCAUGAGUAAGGCUUUCUGCAUUAUGGCAUGGCUCAUGUUGAUAAUAUGCGGGCACAUAAAAACUACUGUAAGGGUCUACUUACAGAACCUUAUAGGAAGAUGUUUUGGAUAAUGGCUACAUGCAAUUAGUGGUGUUAAGGAAGGGACCUAUUUUUGGGUUGAUUACAUUGUAACAUUGCAGUGCCUUUAAAUUAGUAAGCUGCAAUAUAGAGAUUAAUAAGGGAACGUUGUGUACUCUUCUGAACCAAAUGAUGUUGUAUUUCUUCUUAUUUGGAGGUUUCAAGUUUCUUGAUUGAGUUUCAUUUUGUUGUAGUCUUUAUCUAAAUUUGACUCUUAAAAACCUCGAGUAAUUUAGUGAAUGUUGUUGGAUAAUGCUUCAAUCAUAGUUGGUGUGUUGCCAUCUAUAAUUAACUCCAGAUGACUAGAAGACGGGAGGAACUAAAAGACAAUCAAGUAAAAUGUUGGUAAACAAAACUUAAUAGGUACAAAGGCAUUUUAGUUUUUAGGUUGUUCAUUUAGUUGAUGUCACAUGGAAUAUCAUGUCCACAUCCACAAACUAUGUUUGUUUGUAGAGAGUACCUGUGCCAUUUAUUAGAUUCUACCCAACUAUCAUGUGACAAUAACAAUAUAAAAGGUUGAUUUUUUUAAUAUAUAGCGUCCUCAGAUUUGUCCAAUGAUGCAACUCAAAUUAGAUGAUUUUUGGCGACUUGAAACUUCAAAUACGUCUGCUUGAGUACCAUGGGUGCCAGCAGCAUUAUCUAGGCCAGUUUCACAUCAAUUUUAAGAGUAGCUGGAUGAUGAUAAAUUAAACCAUAUCAUCAAGACUCCUGCUUCUGUGUAUUGUAGUUUUAUUGAUCCUGAUCUUCCAUUAGAAUUUUAAGACUCAUGCAUGCGAAUACAUCAGAACGUCCUUUAAUUGAUGAAUUCUUUACCUCUGUCUUGACGAGCAGUUUCACCAGGAAUCAAACUAAUGGUGCAUGGCCUGAAGAAUGUAUGGGGAUCAAUGCGUGCAGUAGUUUCCACAGCAUGUGAGUUUAUGGUACUAACAUCAAAAGGAGCCGCUGAUGAGAAUAUUGUAGAGCAAAGACUGCUCAAGGAGCUGUGCAAACAUGGCUUUUAAUAAAAUUGACUUGGAUAGGGAGUUUUCUUGGGCUAAAAGAUUAUGACCUGUAGCAGUCCAUGGAUGAGCUUUUUGGUUGUGUAUGAUGAAUAGAUUUUUGCCUUGAGAGCAGAGCUUCAGGUUCUCGUUAGCCUGUAACUCCUUGCUUCUUUUAUCACAUGCUUUAGUGAUCCUCGAUGCCUGCAAGAUUACUGAAACUAAUAUUUGAGAUUGGUAGCCCAAUUUUUUCUCUCUCCAGUGGGUAGUUCAUUUGGUACCCUAUGGACUCGGUAUCUUUCCUUGCUUAUCCCGUAGCAGCAGCGGAAAUUUUGGUAGGAGAAGCUUUAGAUUGACUUUGUUUUCUCCAGUUUGUGGUACAAAUAUCAUUAUCUGAUGUGGUGUCUCUUGAGAUUGAUGUGGCAGGUUCUAAAUCUUACCAGGUAUUAAAGGAUUGUGGAUGUUACUUUUUCUUCUUUUUGAUUCCGUUGAAAUCUUUUGGUAGGUUGUAACUCACAGACGGAGAUUGAGCCGCAGCAAAUUGACUUGAAGAGCAUCAUCAUGGCAGCAACUGGGCUUGGACUUGUUUGAGGGAAGGUCACUUGGACUGGUAUGCUACUUAGCCCAAUCCAAUUGUUUGGUUACCGCAAAGCUCACUGGUUCAACAGAGAUGCAUACUAUUUCACGAGGGAUUACCUUGUUUAACUUUUGCUCCUAAGCCAUACAACACCAACGCUAACAGCUGAAGAAGAAUAUUUGGGAGUCUCAAUUAGAUCUUACAGAUCGUGUUCUCCCCUUCUGCUGCUUAGGAGGAUGGCGACGAAGCUGAGGCCAGCGCAGCCGCCGGUGACGAGGUUGCCCUCGCGGACGAGGAUCUUGAGGGCGACGGCGCUGAUGUCGGCGGUGAUCCGCCGCCCCUCCAUCACCAGCGCCCGCCACGGCUUCCCGGCGAAGGCGAGCAGCACCAGGACGGUGCAGCACGUGACCAGCGUCGCUGGCACCGCCACCGGUAGCGCUGCCCCCACGGACAACAUCCCGAACAACUCUCCGUACUGAUUGUGUAAAUGUAAAGACAAAGUUUGAUUGAAGCUUAUUAACAUGUUCCCUGGGGGGAGGAUUUUCAGAGCAGUGAGAUUUCCUCGUGCAAUCGGAGAAAUCUUAUUUGCUAUCACAUACAGCACCGACGUAUACAACCUCGACGACCAUGAUGAUGAGGAGGACGAGGAGGAGGCGACGAUGUUGUACCAGGAAUGGAUGGCAAGGAGGAGGCCCCAGGAGCAAUGAAGGAGGAGGGUGUAGAAGAGGAGAAAGAGGUAGACCCAUGUCCGCCUCUUGUUCGUAACUCUGGUAUGUCCGCGGUCGCCCUUGGAUGCUUGUUUCUCAUGGCCAGUGCUGCAGUUGCUGUUGCAGAAGAAGUGGAUGUGUAGCAGAAGCAAAAGUAAGUCCAACUCUGCUUGUGUCUCUGAGUUUCCCACCUUAGUCAAGCCAGCUGAAUAGCCUACUCACUUUUUUUAAUUUUUAUUAUUGUUUUAUCAUUUUUUAGAUGAAUGAUAAUAUUUAUAUAUGAAAAGAUAUUUUAUCUCAUUAUUUUACUUAAUAUUUUAAUAUUUAUAUCGAUAUUGGACUAACGGGAGAUGCCUUGCUCGGAUAGAAUAUAUCUAAGGGGGGAUAUAUAUAACUGAUAAGGGUAAUAAUUGUAAUAAGACUCACGUGACAUCAGCUGCAUCAGGUGACGCAUCACGCCUCUGUUGACUUGAUGAGGCACCUGGUCAACGUGGAUCGGAACGCCUACCAAGGCGCAUUAACGCUCUGUUCAGGUUCGAUCCCUCACGCCACGCCAACGGCAACGUUAGACGCUACCAGAAGUACGGUCCCGCUCCCUGCGGGCCAGCACAUUAGACAACGGUAAUUAUCACUAUAAAAACCCUCGCACUCUGAAGGGAAAAAAAGGGGGGGAGGGAAGGGAGAAAUCCCCUAGGACCAUCCACUAACUUGAUCGUCAGAGGGAUCGGGUCGAGCUCCCCGACCCGACCUUUGUGUAGGUGCGAAGGCGGAGGUCGUCCACCAAAGGCGCAGGCGGGGGUUCCCUCCCGGUGAAAACAGCGACCUCGUCCCAAUCGGAACACCGUGAUCGGCCACCUUAGCAGUCGGGAGGAGCGUCCCAGGAAGAUCCCCGUCAUCCGGACCCGAACCAAACCGCGUCGGUCCCGAUGCCACGGCUUAAAGUUGUUCACACUAACACUAACAUUUCGAUGUUUGUAUUAUGUUGGGACAUUUUUUUUUCGGUGAGAUAGUGAGUUGAGUAUUUUUUAUCCGAUCAAAAAGUUAUUUGAUAUAUUUAUAUUAUUGGGAUCAAUAUAGUAUAGAUGGGUCUAAUUUCUCUUACAAAAAAGAAUACCAUGAUUUAAACAUUGGGACUGAAAAAAAAUCUUAUAAGAUGCAAAGUUCAAGCACUAUCUUGGGUGGUCAGGUUGGGAACUCAUUGGAAGCUCUAUUACCACCGAUUAUGUAAGGUUAAAUUAUUUAAUUAGAAAAUAUUUAUUUUGCAUGUCAUAUUGAUGCGAAACAUCAUUAUUUUCAAACUAAUUAUCUCCUAUUUAUAUCGAAUCCAGAUUAAUUAUCCAUUGAAUUGUACCUAAUUUAUAAGGAUUCGCUGAAGGUAAAAUAAGCUUGAGAUAAUAUAUGAGUUCCACCCUUAAAAGAGAUGAUGAUUGAGCAAUUAGUUUAUCCCUCUAACUAUGGAGUAGGUUGGGAAGUCGAUGAAGCUCGAAAGAGAGGAUCCUGAGCAAGCAAUCAACCAACCUCAGUGGUUCUUCACUGAAAGGAGGAAGCAACGUAAGCAACAUCUAUGGAUGAGAGCAUUUUUCAUAUUUUUAAUGGUGGAGAAUCCCCGUUGAUUUGAGUUGAAAGUGUCAACUAGAAAUAAUCAAUAGAUCAUGGUCGCUAAUAUCAAGUUAUCUCCGAUAACAUCAAAAUCUCACUUCAAUAAUAUCUUCCAUUGUAAGAAUCCAACCCACAACAAUUAAAUACAAGAAAUGUGAUAGGGAAAGAGAUCAACUUCAAAAUCUCUAUGAGAAUGAUCGUUAGAUUUAAUAUUAUACUGGAUAGUAAUUGUAAUACCCCAAUUAGAAGUGAUAUGGUGAUAAUUGUCCAUCAGGACUUCUUUUAUAUUCUCAUAAAACUUUUCAUUAACUCAAGCAAAGUUCUUCAUGAUGUAUCACAUGUUAUGAAUAGUAUAUAUAAAUAGGGGAUCGAUACAUGAACCACCAUAUAUUGGGAGGUACAUAUUACAUGACCCUAUAUUAGACAAUACAGGAUCUAUACCAAUUGGUAUUGAUUGAAAUCCAAUCAUUAUAAAUUUGUGCUGACAAUUAUAUUGGGAGGUUACAAUUGCUUUAUUUUAAAUGAUCAAUUUGAUUGUUUGAACUAUAGAGAAGGGGUUUUAAACCCUUUCUUCUCUCCUUUUUCUACCAAUUUCACUCAAUCUUUUCAACUCUUUCUCACUUAUAUCUUUUUCUCAUUGUCAUGUUUUCACUCUCUUAAACUCAUCAUAACUAUAAUUCAUGGAUUAGAACAAAUGUGAGAGGCUAAUUUAGAAGGAUUACAAGAAGAAUAUUUUGAUCGAGAGGUAUAUAUUAUCAUUCUAGAUUUUUAUUUAUAUAUGAGAUGAUUAAGCCUAUUCUAUGUUUAUUUAUACAAUUUGAUGGUGAUGUAUCUAGAGGAGCAAUCUUUUACACUUGUCAUCUAGAUUCAGGCUCGAUAAUGUACUAGUUAAAUUUACACUAUGCCAUAAUGGGGGUUGAGGAGGAGGAUGCGACAUGAUGACAUUUACUGAUGAGAGCUUCUUUCAUAUUCUUAAUAGUGGAGAAUCUCUCGUUGACUUGAGUUUAAAAUGUCAACAAUAAAGACUCCGCUAAUAUCAAGUUAUCUCUAAUAACAUCAAAAUCUCACUUCAAUAAUAUGUAAAAAUCCAACCCAAGACAAUCGAAUAUAAGAAAUGAGAUUGGAAGGAGUUUGACUUCAAAAUCUCUAUAGAAAUGAUGUUAGAUUUAAUACUAAACUAGAUAGUAAUUGUAACACCCCAAUUGGAAACAAUGUGGCAACAAUCAUUGGCAAGGGCUUCUUUCAUAUUCUUAAGGUGGAGAACCUCCUAUUAAAUCAAGUAAGAUUCAUUGUACCAUGAUAUACCAUCUGAGACAAAUGAUACAUAUCAUUCUGACAAGGGAUUAGCAUGCGAACAGUCAUAUAUCGGGUGGUACACAUUACAUGAUUCUAUAUCGGAUGAUACGUGAUCUAUACCGAUCGAUAACGAUUGAAAUUUAAUUAUUACUGACUUGUACCAAUCGGUAACAAUUGAAUUUUGAUCGUUAUCAAUCAAGAGCUAAGAUUGUCUUAUUUUAAAUGAUCAAUUUGACUAUUUAAACUAUAAAAAAUAUUUUUAUAUCCUUUCCUCUCCCCACUCUUUCAACCCAUUUCACUCGAUCUUUUUAACUUUUUCAAACUCUUCUCACUCACAUCUUUUAUCUCAUUCUUAUAUUUUUACUUUCUUAAACUCAACAAAGCUAUAAUUAUAUAUUAAAUCAAAUAUAAGAUGUUAAUUUGAGAGGAUUAAAAAGAAUAACACUUUAAUUAAGAUAUAUAUAUAUAUAUAUUUCUUUUUAAAUUUUAUAUUUAUAUAUAAGAUAAUUAAGCUUAUUCUAUGUGGUCAUGUCUAUACAAUUUUAUACUUGUCACCCAAGAUUUAGAUCAUGAAACUCGACGAAAUACUAGUUAAGUUUAUACACGGGAGGGAAGGGAAAAACAAUGGAUGAUUUUGAAUAGAUGUGAUAGAGUAUACAUGACAUAGAUAUAGAUCAAACCUCGUCAUAUUCACAACCAUUGUAUUGUGAAGAAUCUUAAGACUAAUAGUAGUAUGAUGAUAGUUGAUUAUUCUUUUCCAAGUAGUAGUAUGAUGAUCAAUCUUAUGAUAUAGAGCAACAGAUCAGUGACGAAAGUAAAAGUUUAAACAUUCAUAAUGCUCCAUACUAAUAUAUGUCAUAAUUGUCCUUGCCUCAGGAGCCAUCUACGUGGUUCAUGACGAUCAACUUAUAACCAUCACAACAUUGAUGUACCAUUAACAUACGAUGUAUGUAACACCCUACUUCUACCCUACAUGUAUAACUAAAAUAUGAUGUCAUAUUUUAAAUUUUUAUUACUGCUAUCAAUAGGAGAGUAGUGAAAGUAGAUAAUCUUAAAAUUAAAACAUGCUAACUUACUUAACAAAAUGAUAGGAUUUCUCCUAUAUAUAGUAUUUUGGACAUUUAUACAUAAUUAUAGCCUCUAACUAAGAGAAAAACAUAAAUAUAACAAGUCCAAAAUUUAUACACACAAAACACCUACAGAACAUCAUGCAUAUCUAAGCUGGUAUAGGCUUGCAUAUACUCACUGCUCUACCCAAUCACUUGGGUGGGGUAUUAGUAAUGAGUACACUCAAUAAGUAUAAGCCCUUAUAGCUUUAUUUAGGUAGCAUAUAUCAUAUCAUAUAUGUAAUAUUUUAAAAUUAUUGGCGUAAGACAUUUAAUGGAAAACUCCCUUAUCAUAUAACUUCUUUAGUAAACAUAAUCCCACAACAUAGCAUAUAUAAAAUAAAGAGUUAAAGUUCUACUUCAAAAUAAUUCAAAAUGCUUAUAUGCAAAUAUAGGAAGUAUAAUAAAUUCAUUGACUUCUAUGCCCUACAUCAUAAUAUAUAUUUGCAUUCCCAUAUCAUAUGUUAUUAUAAUAUAUACGUGCACUCUCACACUACACGUCAUAAUAUUUACAUACACUCCCACAUUAUACAUCAUAGCAUAUACGUGCAUUACAUAUCAUAAUAUAUUCGUGUACUCACGUACCAUACAUCAUAGAAAAUAUAUACACUCUCAUACCAUAUGUCAUCAUAUAUGUAUACGUAUAUGAUAUUUUUAUCAUAAUUCAUAUAUUUUUAGACUUACAAAAUAUAUACAUUCAUAUUUAACUAAUGCUUUGCUCAUGACAAUCCUAUCAUUCGAAAUAUAAUUUUUAAAUUGUAUUAUACAUAUGACACCAUUAUUUUAUAGUAAAUUAAACUUAUACUUAAUUAAACUUAAAAAUAAAGAUAUUAAUAAAAAAUCAAGUUCUUUAAUAGUCGAAUGUAUUAGGGAGUGAUACUCCUUGGAGCAAAAGGUCAUGAGAUGUUUUAAUUAAUAAUCCUACCUCUUGAAUUAUUGAUUUAUAAUAAUUUAUAAUAAUAAUUCAUAAAAAAAAAAUUGAUAAAAAUCUCUUAUAAAAUAAAUUAUACUCAUCCUAAUAAUAUAUGAAGUUAUUCCUUCUCCAUGGUAGCUAAAAUUCAAAUUGAAUUAGUGUCGAAAGAUUAGAGAUCCAUGGCAAAGUAUGAUGUCGUAAUUACAUAUUAAUUGCGUCAUACAAAAAGGUGAAACAUCGUUUGUGCGUUCUUAUAUUUGCUUCCAUGUAAAAUGCUUUAAUUACAUUAAAUUAUAUGUGACAUUGACACAUAAACACACAGUUUUUAUUUAUUUUAAGAAAAAGAUAAAGUACAAAGUGACAAGUAAUUAUAUGCGACAUUGGCACAUAAACACACAACAGAGAGAGAGAGAGAGAGAGAGAGAGAGAGAGAGGAUAUAUAUAUAUAUAUAUAUANNNNNNNNNNNNNNNNNNNNGAGAGAGAGAGAGAGAGAGAGAGAGAGAGAGAGAGGAUAUAUAUAUAUAUAUAUAUAUAUAAGGCGGAGAUUCUUCGUGUCAUGUAUUAAGCUUCGGUGACAUCUCGAAUCAUGCGAUGGCACUGUGAUGGAGGUCGUUGUAGUAGACGACGUAGACGUCGUAGGCGACGACGAGCUUCGCGACAGAGGACGUCACCGUCUCGGUCACCAGCUUCCCCCAUGCGUACUGGAACACCCCCGUCCCUCCCACGAUGGCCCGCUCCGAGUUCCCGGACGCGUCCAGUCUCCCGAUCACCGUGAGAGUGCUGUUGACGAACUUCCCCGCCGUGAACACCAGCACCAGCGGUACCAGCAUCACCUCCUCCUGCAUUGAUACGUGGAAGCCCGCGCCCUGCACCCUUCCGAGGAAGGUGGAGCUUUCGUCGGGGCCGACCCUCAGCACCGUGUCGUAGAUCUCGAUGUUCCCGAAGGUGUAGGGGAGGCUCAUGUUCACCACGGUGACGGUGGUGUUGUCGGGACCGAUAAAGGUCUCGUGGAAGUAGACGCGGAAGUGGAUUCUCUUCUGGAUGCCGAGUUCGAACUCGGAGGUGACCGGGAAGGCCGUGGCAGCAGCCAGGAGGAGGAAGAAGACGAGGAGGUGGUGGAAAAGAGAGGAGCUGUGUGGGGACGACGCCAUGACUAGGGUGGUGGAUGGACAAGGAACGUGAAGUGAGAAGUGAGAUGAGCACAACAAUAAGAGGGAAAGUGUCUUUAUAGAGCAUUGGCUUAUGGCUCUGUCAUCAUCAUACAUAUCAUAUUUAUCACAGGUAAGUAUGAUGUACACAUCAUCAUAUUAAUAUUUAAGAGAUUAAAAUUAAAUAAUAUUUUGAAUCCUUAAUAUUCGAUAAAUAAGUCUUUUAGAUGUAAGAAUAUCUCAAAUAAAUUUUUGAAUAAUCAACCUUUGAUAAGUGGAUCAUCAUUAUAUUUAUACACGGAAAUGAAUCAUUUACAAUUAAUUAGACUUUGACAUGUUAAACUCAAUCAAUUCAUGAACUAUUAUUGAAAAUAUUUAUGGGUAUACGAUUAGAAAAAUAAGCUUAUAUGACUAAGGAUUGAAAGAAUCAGAUAACAUAAUAGUUUAAGUCUUUGGAUUGAAUUAAUAUCUUACUUGAUAUAUAUAUUAACUCUGAUCAAUUUGAUUCAAACUCAUCAAUAGUCAUACAACUAUGACAUGAACAAGCUCUAAAUUGAAGAUUUAUCGGGCAAGCUUAUUGAACUCAUCCAAGAGUCUUAUGGGUGCUAUUCAAAACAAAAUUGGACAAUCGUAUCCUCAUUGAACUUGGAAGAAAUCGACUCGAGCCACGUUAAUUUAGAUAUUGAGGUUGGAUUCCCCUAGUUGGACAUCUUAGUCGAACCUCAAAGUCAAAAGUCAUUCCAUCUUCCAACUAGAGCAACAAGAAUUCGGAAAAAAAUAAUGAACCAAAUCGAGUCAAGUUCGCCGGAUCUAAGUUCGACCGAAUGGUGUAUUUGGAGUCCAUCCUUCCAAUGCGGGGGGAAGAAGAUGGCAUAAAAUGCAAUAAGCGAUGCAUAAUAACACCGGUGGACGCCCGGUGAUUACAGCAUACGGGCUCUCGAUCGGUAGGUGCCUCGCUCUCCGCCUUCAGCAAGCAACGUAGACGUACAGCGACGGCUCUCGGUCGGUAGGUGCCUCGAAUGCAGGUGUCGCUGGGGAGAUGGGUGAUGGAGGUCCAAAAGAUGAGGCCAUUGACAUGAUCGAUGUCGACUGUAAUCUUCUCAUCUUAGGACAAGAUCUUCCACCUCACGGUCUCGUACGUUGCAUGGUGGGUGAACGAGGAGGAAGCCAUCGAUCGGGCGUUGGUUUCCUCCGUACACUUAUCUUUUCUCCAUGCUGUAGCUGUCGGUGAUCACAUUUGUUGCAUGUGAUACACGUUUUCUUUUUUUUUUUUCACCUUUGUCGUGUACUCUAAUUCUGAAAGAACCAUCACUUUCUGAUCACUGUACAUGACUGUGAUUCUUGCACAGUCAUUGAUCUAUUUCUUCUAAUAAUUGACUAUGAUUCUUGCACAAGAGAACUCGUAAAGCAUGAAAAUUUGAUAUUAUUAAUUAAUUUUAAUAAUAAUUUUAUUUUUAAAGUAAACAAAUAAAUUAAAAGAAAAUGGAGAAUUGCAUAUUCUCCACUCUGUUGAUACCCCUAUUUACUUGAGAGGAGACCAAUGUAGUUUCUACAAUCAAGUCAAACUAGAGUCUAAAUCAAAACUAUGUAGACCUCCCUUCCAUCCCUCUAGCUAGGUCUCAUUCGGUGCCAACCGACACCAUCGAAACUUUAGCUCAGUUUGCUUAAAUGUUCAGCUAGUAAACAUACAAACAUAUCACUUUCCAUCAAUAUAAAAGUACAUAUAUAUAUUACAAUAAUAUGUGAUAUGAUAGUACACACAUAUGUUAUGAUAUAAGGCGUAGAAGAUCAUACAUUUUUUAGGCUUCCUACAUGUGCAUAUAAGUAUUUGAAUUAUUUCGAUAUAAAAUUUUACCAUCUUAUUGUAUAUAUAAUGUGUUGUAGGAUUAUUUAUACAUGCUAAAGAAUUUAUAGGAUGAUGUGUCUAUCAUUAAAUACUUUAUGUUAAGGAUUUUAAAAUAUUAUAUACAUGAAAUGAUGUGCUCACAUAAAUAAAACAAUAAAGACUUAUAUUUACUGAGUGAUUAAUCACCGUAGAUCAUAUUUUACAGAUAAAAAUAUUAGUAUCCCACUCAAGUGAUUGUAUAGGGAAGUAAGCACAUGUAAGCCCAUGCUAGCAUAGAUAUGAACGAUGAUUUUUCAACAUUUUAUGUAUAUAAAUUUUGGACAUAUUAUAUUUAUGUUUUUAUUUGGUUAAAUGAUAUAAUCAUGUAUUUAAAACAUUAUGGAUAGGGGAAACCCUAUUAUUUUGUUUAGUAAGUUAGCAUGUUUUAAUUUUAGGAUUGUCAACUUUCCAUUGUAGUCAUAUUGAUAUCAGUAAUUAAAAUUUAAAAUGUAACAUCCUAUAUUAAUUAUACAUGUAAGAUAUGGAAGAAACUAGAAGUAGAGUAUUACAUAUUCAAUGUUCUUGAUAUCGAAUCCAUCUAUGAUAGACUCGGUGAAAGGCUACAGUUACAUCCAAGUCAUCCUUUAAAGAAUCAAAAUAUAUAUUAACAAUUAUGAAAUGUGAAAGAUUUUUUAACUAAUAAAUUAACUAGAAAAAUUGAAUGAACGAAUGAAUGCCAUGUUUAUGGGAGGAAUAGGUACAUGUCAUUUUGUCAAGGCACGUGAUUUAUUUGGAAUUUAAUGUAACUUAUUCGCAUUAUGUUGAUUAUAGUUUGCGACAAAUGUAAAGAUUCCAUAUCAAAAAAUAAAUUCCGAUGUGCAUGUGUUAGAUCCCUUAUGAAACUUAAUUAUUUAUAGAGUGACUUUAACAUAUAGUAAAUAAGUUUGUAUCUAUGUAACUUGGAUGAUCAUAUUGUGAAAUAUACAAAUAAUAUCUCAAGUUAUUCCUUCUCCGUAGUAGCUAAAUUUCAACUACAUUUGGUGUCGAAAGAUUAGAGAUCCAUGACAAAGUAUGAUGUUGUAAUUACAUAUUAAUUGCGUGAUAGAAAAAGGUGAAACAUCGUUUGUGUGUUCUCAUAUUGCUUCCUUGUCCGAUAAUUUAAUCGCAUUAAAUUAUAAGCGACAUUGAUAGGUUGAUGUUCACAAAAACACACAACACUAACAUUAUGACCCAUCGACCAUUUUGUACCCACUUGAUUCAGUUUUUAGAAUUAUAUUUGUCUGUUUCCAAAAAAAAAUAUUUCUUUAUGUAGUACGAAGUAUUUUUUUGAAUUAUAGUAUAUUAUAGUGAAAUUUUUGACAGAUAAGCUCACUCUACAGGAGAUGAGAUUUUUACCUCAUAACACUCAUCGCUUAAUUCUUUCCAAGUAAUUAGAUCCUUUUCAUCAAAGCAUUCAUAAUCUUUUAUAUAUAUAUAUAUAUAUUAUUGAAUUGAGCUGUACAAUAUUAUUUUAGUUGAUCUUAUUAACAACUUUAUAGUGUGGUCCGAUGCAUAAUACUGCUACUAAUCCUAAAUAGGAGAAGAAUAAAUUUACUAUAGUCAUAUAUACCUACAGCUAUGAAAAAUAAAGCAUGUCACCGUACUGUGCUGCAAAAUAUCGAGGUUUGUAAAAGCUUUUCUUUCUCAAUAAUAAGAAGCUUUUCUUUAUUUUAAGAUAAAGAUGGAAGUACAAAGUGACACGUAGAAUAGCAUUUAUUUCAGCCUUUUGUUUUGUCCUUAUUCCAACCGCUGUCUUCAUGGAGUGACACCAUAGCCGGAGUUCUUUUUGUCGUGUAUUAAGCGUCGGUGACGGCAAGGUCUCGCAAUCAUGGGCUGGCACUGCGACCGACGUCGGUGUAGUAGAUGACGUAGACGUCGAAGGCGGCGACGAGGCCCUCGACGGAGGACGUCACCAGCUCGCUCGCCAGCUUUCCCCAUGCGUACUGGAACACCCCCGUUCCACCCACGAUGGCCCGCUCCGCUUUCCCGGACGCGUCCAGUCUACCGAUCGCCGUGAGUGUGCUGUCGGCGAACUCCCCCGCCGUGAACACCAGUACCAGCGGUAUCAGAGACGCCUCCUCCUGCUGCGACAUGUGGAAGCCCGCGCCCUGCGCCCUUCCGACGACCGUCGAGCUAGCGUCGGAGCCGACCCUCAGCACGGCGUCGAAGAUGUCGAUGUCCCCGAAGGUGUAGGGGAGGCUCAUGUUCACCACGGUGACGGUGGUGUUGUCGGGGCCGAGAAAGGUCUCGUGGAAGUAGACGCGGAAGUGGAUUCUCUUCUGGAUGCCGAGUUCGAACUCGGAGGUGACGGGGAAGGCCGUGGCAGCAGCGAAGAGGAGGAAGAAGACGAGGAGGUGGUGGAUAGGAGAGGAGCUGUGUGGGGACGAAGCCAUGACUGGGGUGGUGGAUGGACAAGGAACGUGUUAUACUUGGCAAAGAUUGACAAGUGAGAGGAGCACAAGGCUGGAGGAGGGAGAGCGUAUUUAUAGAGUAUUGGCUAUGUCAUCGUCGUGCAUAUAUCAUAUCUAUCAUAUUAGACGAUAUUUUAGACUCUCUUAAAAAGGUAAGUAUGUAAGCAUCAUCAUAAUAAUAUUUUAGAGAUUAACAUUAGAAAGGAUUUCAAAUCCUCAAUUCAAAGUUGAGUCUUUUAGAUGUAAGAAUACCUCAAACAAAAUUUUUGAAUCAUCAAACAAUAAGUGAAUUUUCAUCAUGUUCAAAGAUUAAAAUGAAUCAUAUACAAUUAAUGAGACUUAGCAUGAUAAAUUUAAGUAAUUAUUAUUGAAAAUAUUUAUGCAUGUGAGAUAAAAAAAGAUGAGCGAAAAGUAAUAUAUGACUAAAGAUUGAAGGAAUCAGAGUACAGAAAGUCGGUUUGACAAGUAACACCACGUUUAGCCUUCCUCUUGAACGCCGGUCUCGUUCCAAAAUCGCCGGACGGACCACUUCGCUCUCCGCCGACAACACGCAACGUGUAGCUUCGCUGGGAUACGGGUGAUGCAGGUCAAAGAAGAUGAAGCCAUCGACAUGAACGAUGUGGACUGUAAUCGUCUCCAUCCUCGUCUUCUCAUCUUAGGACUAUAUCUUCCACCACACCGAAUCAUUCGUUGUAUGGUAGGUGAACAAGGAGGAAAGCCAUCAUCCAUGGGACUGCUUUUGGUUGGUUAAUCCUCACACUAGCUUCUCUCGAUGCUGUACCUGAUGGUGAGGCUUCUUGUGCACGUUUUGUUUCCAAAAAAUCUGUCUAUUUUGUUGAGAAAAUAUUUUCAUCUUAAUCAGUAUAAAUAGGGGGAAAAUAGCUUCAAUGUAAAACAGUUUUUUCAAUAAUUCUUCUUGUCUUCUAUUCUUUCCAACAUGAUAUCAGAGCAAGUGAGAAGAGCGAGACUCCAUGGCCAUCGAAGCCUGUUAUUCACCACAUCUCUUACCUUUGUAGAGCAGAGAAGGGGGUGAACUCUUUUCCAUCGGACUCGCUUCCCUGUCGGACUCCCCUCUCCGUCCGCUGAUACCCCAGUCGCUGUCGUGACCACACCCGGCAUCGCAAUCAUGUGCGACCACAACAACGAGGGCCUGUUUUGGUGCGACUGGCUACUCGCCCUCGGCAGUGGAUCCCUCUCCAACCCUGUCCGCUCCUUCCCUCUUCUCCUCCAUGCGGCUUUCUUCUUCAUCGGCGUCGCCUGCACCGACCCUAAGCUCGGGUUAUCUACCGCCAUAUCAUCAUCUUCAUCAGGUUGUGAUCUAUAUCAAUCGCAGCCUGCUGCCUCGGUGUCAACUGUCGAUCCUUAGCUCCUACUAAGAGCUAAUCGCUACAGCUUCCUCCUACUGCAGCUUCCUCAUGUUGCAGCAUCGUUGUAGCUUCCUCCUCUGUUGCAGCAUCGUUGCGGCUUCCUCCUCUGUUGUAGUUUCUGCUGUAGCUUUCUCCUAUGCUGGAGCAUUGCUGCAACUACCUCCUUUGCUCCGACUUCCUCCUUUAUUACAUCUAUGCUGCAGCUACCUCUUCUACUAUAGCUUCCUCCUCUAUUGUAGCAUUACUACAGCAUCGCUGCAGCUUUCUCCUAUACUGUAGCUUCCUCCUCUUCUGUAGAAUCACUGCAGAUUCCUCCUCUGCUAUAGCAUCGUUGCAGCUACCUCCUCUUCUGCAUCUACCUCCUCUACUGUAGCAUGAUAGCAGAUAAGAUUUCUCUAACUAUAUGAGAAAAUCUAGAGUUGAGAGAAAUCCUCCCUCUUAAUCUGUAUAAAUAGGGAGAGAAUACCUUCAAUGUAAAAUAGUUUCUUCAAUAAUUCUUCUUGUCUUCUAUUCUUCCCAACAGAUAAAAAGGGAUGUGGACGAGGCCAUCAAAAGGAACACACGUCAUUUAUGAUUACUGCUCGCUGCUCUUUGUUACUCGCCGAUGUCCUCAUCCAUCAGUAUGAACUGGAUGAGAGAAUAAUAUUCAAAAUACUCAGUUAAUAUUUUUCUUACUAACAGGAGUUUCUAUAGCUCAUGAUUCAUAACUUUAUUUUUGUCCCUUGUAUAAGAGCUGAUUUAAGUUUCUGUAUAGUUUUAUCAAUCGUGUUUUUUAUGCUAGUUUUACUUAUGACGCUGAAUGGCUUAUCUUAAUUACUAAUUGAGCAUUCAUCUCAUUAAGCAUUUAAUUAGAUGACACAGGGCACAUGCUCACGGUCACUUAUGGCUCCUCUUGCCAUCCUUCACGUGCAUGAUAUAUAUAUAUAUAUAUAUNNNNNNNNNNNNNNNNNNNNNNNNNNNNNNNNNNNNNNNNNNNNNNNNNNNNNNNNNNNNNNNNNNNNNNNNNNNNNNNNNNNNNNNNNNNNNNNNNNNNNNNNNNNNNNNNNNNNNNNNNNNNNNNNNNNNNNNNNNNNNNNNNNNNNNNNNNNNNNNNNNNNNNNNNNNNNNNNNNNNNNNNNNNNNNNNNNNNNNNNNNNNNNNNNNNNNNNNNNNNNNNNNNNNNNNNNNNNNNNNNNNNNNNNNNNNNNNNNNNNNNNNNNNNNNNNNUUGGACGUCACCAGUUUGCUCACCAUGUUCCCCCACGCGAACUGGAACACCCCAGUCCCUCCCACGAUGGCCCGGUCCGCCUUCCCGGAGGUGUCCAUCCUCCCUAUCAACGUGAGCGUGCUGUCGCAGAAGUCCCCGGCCGUGAACACCAGCACCAGCGGUAUCAGCGACGACUCGUCCCGCUGCGACGCGUGGAAGCUCACGCCCUGCGCCCUCCCGACUUCAGUCGAACGCUUGGAGGGGCCGGUCCUCAGCACGGCGUCGAAGAUGUCGACGUCCCCGAAGGUGUUGGGGAGGCUCAUGUUCACCACGGUGACGGUGGUGUUGUCGGGGCCGAGAAAGGUCUCGUGGAAGUAGACGCGGAAGUGGAUUCUGCUCUGCCGGCCGAGUUCGAACUCGGAGGUUACCGGGAAGGCUGUGGCAGCAGCCAGGAGGAGGAAGAAGACAAGGAGGAAGUAGAGAUGAGAGGAGCUGUGUGGGGAUGAAGCCAUGGCUAGGAUGACCGAAGGAUCGAAUUGAGGUGGGUACAACGCUGGAUCAGGAACAUGUAUUUAUAGAGUAAUGUCUGUGCCAUGCGUCGUCAACAAAAGCCAACUUCCAACCAAAUCUCAUUAUCAUGUCUACAUAAAAAACCCAAACGAAUAUUACUCUUGCAGGCGAAGGUCUCAGCGUAGGGAAGAAGAUAGCAUAUGGUAACACGAUGUACACACCAUAUAGUCUUCUCCAUAUAUAUAUAUAUAUAUAUAUAUAUAUAUAUAUGAUGUCGAGCAAUGGAGAUGGGUAACUGAGAGAUGGAGGGAUGAUAGUUGCAAGCAAUGGGCGAUGAGGAUAGUGUUGCGUCUUCUGCAAGUGCCAACUGGCCACCUGUAGCUCGUCAAUUUGCUUGUUAAUUAACGAACCACAUUGGCAACGCUAUCUUUCUUAAUGUGUUUCACCACAGAUGUACGCGGUUGGCUGAUGGCUGUCGCUCCCGUUUGUUCGCAUCUUCGGUUGUUGACAUGUGGAAAUGAAGUGUCGGUUCCCAUGCGUGAUCGGUACCUCACCACUCCACUUCAAGUCGCGACGUAAUUAAUGACCGACGGUGCGAUGCAAAACCUUCACUCGCCAAUCAAGUCAUUCGUGACUCAUGUGGGGCCAUUAACCAUCUUUUUGCUCUACAGUAAUCAAAGAAAAGCUCACAUGAUGUGUUCUCAUAUCAGCAUACAAAUGAAUUUUAUGUGACUUUUAAUAUACAUACAUAUUCUCUCCUGUCAAAACAUAUCCUAAACUCAUGUUUAUUUUUACCAUUAUAUAUAUCAUCACGAGACCAAAAGACAAAAAGGCAUGGGAUAACAUAACGCAUGUCAAUGUUUCCAUGUGAAUCACGCCUACAGAAUCCUUCACCUACCGAAGGUGUGGUUGGUUGUCAAAGUUCAUCAUUAUUAUGUAAGGGACAUUUUUCUCAGCAUAUCGUCAAAUGCCAGCGCAUGACGUGUUACCUUUCAAAGUGCAUAGUUGACCCAUUCCGCGUGUAAUGUCUCCUACUUAGUUGUCCCUUCACGCAAUGCAUUUCUUUAUCAGUAUACGUAUACUUCACCUGUUCAUAGCAUCCAUAUUAAAGCUUAUGUAGGUGCAGCGAAAUUAGUUAAUCGUCUAUAAAUAGGAUAGAAAUGGAUAACAAGUCUUAUUAAAGCCAUUAAUUAAGAAUUUAGAAUAGAGAUAGUAUCAUAUUUGAUUUCACAUUGAUCAGAGACUUAGAGAAUCAAUACCUAAUACCUAAUAAAGAGUCAAAUACAAAUUUUCGUUUUUUGACAGACAACUUUUGGGAUCCACCUUAGGAAAGGAAAGAUCAUGUGGUCCCGCUUAACAAUUUAUGAUUCAAAAGAGCUCGUGAUUGAAUAGUUUGUGAAAAUAAGAAUAUUAUUUGGAUAAAAAUAAAUAGUAAAAAAAGGAUCAAAUGAUAUAUGGACACGUGGCAUAUUCACCGAUCUUUAAAGCAGCCGAUCGCACGAGUAGUAAGAACUACCAAAGCUCUCUCCACGAUGAGAAAGGGCAACGAAGGCGGGGGAGUGACGAUGUGAAAGAAUCAUAAAGACGAUUGUUAGCAACCCUUGUGGUCGAGGUGCCAGCGUGGUUCGAUCCAAUCCUAAAUGCGCUUGUCCACGUAGAUGCUCGAGUGAUGGAAGUGAGCAUUAUGUCGUGUUGAGUUUGAGCCUCGUCUAUCUCAAUAUAGUUUCUCUCUUGGUGAGUGGCCUGCUUAUUUAUCACCGGACACAGGUUAGGGUCGAGAGGAAGAUUUUUUGAUUUGACCCUUGCGAAAGUUAAAUUAGUGUUGGGUGAAGUAAGAGGGAGUUAAAUGCUCAAAGUUCUUCCCAUGAUGUCAAUUAUUGGGUUGACUUUUAUACAUGCGAACAAAGUUCUUCACUGCUUCAGUAUGAUAUUCGAUUUAUAGAUGAAAGGUUAUGUUUUUCUUCAGCUUCAUGUUGCUCAUGGUCCAAAGUGAACUUGCUAAAAGAAAAAACACUGUCAUGAUUAUGAUGGAAUAAUAUUUCAAACACUUAGAUUUUUAAUAUAAAAUUGUAUGUAUCUAAGAGCUGGUUGGAGAAUUGUAUAAGAUAUGUCUAUAGUUCAACGAGUUCUGAUAUUUUUGGAGUUUGUUGCAAUAGGAUUUUAUUCGUAAUAUUAAUAAACGAGAUCGAAUAAUUCUUUUUAUUUUAGCCUUAUUAUUUAUUCUGCAGACGUAAAGCAAGAUAAACAUUGUUAGCUCUUAUUUAAUUGCUGUAGCUUUCGUUAUCGUGUCUCGGAUCACGCGAUGGAAGUGAGACGGACGUCGUUAUGGUACAUGACGUAGACCACGAAGGCGACGACGAGUCCUGCGACAUCGGACGUCACCUGCUUGCUCACCACGUUCCCCGACGCGAACUGGAACACCCCCGUCCCUCCCACGAUGGCCUGGUCCGCCUUCCCGGACGCGUCCAUCCUUCCGAUCACCGUGAGCGUGCUGUCGCAGAAGUUUCCCGCCGUGAACACCAGCACCAGCGGUAUCAGCGACGACUCGUCCCGCUGCGACACGUGGAAGCUCACGCCCUGCGCCCUUCCGACUUCAGUCGACCACUUGGAGGGGCCGAUCCUCAGCACGGCGUCGAAGAUGUCGACGUCCCCGAAGGUGUAGGGGAGGCUCAUGUUCACCACGGUGACGGUGGUGUUGUCGGGCCCGAGAAAGGUCUCAUGGAAGUAGACGCGGAAGUGGAUUCUCUUCUGGAUGCCGAGUUCGAACUCGGAGGUGACGGGUAAGGCCGUGGCAGCCGCAAGGAGGGGGAAGAGGACGAGGAGUAAGUAGAGAUGAGAGGAGCUGUGUGGGGAUGAAGCCAUGGCUUUGAUGAUGUUGUGGGAAACAACCUGGGAGCAGUGGCCUCGGGGCCGACGCGACUCAGUUCGAGUCCGAACGACGAGGAUCUUUGCUCGAGGUCUCUCGGGAUUGUCGGAGUGACCGACCGUGCGGACCAGACCACCGUUGGGUUCGUCGGGAUGUCUAGGGGGGAAGGCGUCCUCUCCUUGCGCCCCGGGGAAAUAGCUUCAUCUCCUUACCUGCACACAGGUCGGGUCGGAAGCUCGGCCCGACCCCUCCGACGAUCAAGUUAGUGGAUGUGGAGGGGGUUUAAGAAGAAGAAGUAUUUUUUGUGUCCCUCUUUGGUGUGUUCUCCCCUCCCCCCCUCUCCUGAUGAACGAGAGGGUAUUUAUAGGGAGGCUUAUUGUUUCUCGAUGUGUCCGCUUGCAGGGGGCAGGCUGGUUGUGUCUGACAUUGGUUUGGCGUGACGUGAAGAACCGAGCCUGAGUAGGUGUUAAUGCGCCUUGGCCUAUGUUCCGAUCCGUUUGAUCGGGUGUCGUCGCGUCGUCCGAGGCAUGAGGUGUCAUCUGACGUCAGUCAGGUCUUAUUAUAAUUAAUAUCCUCAUCAUGACAAAAUGAUCGAAGUUAGGUGGGCACAACGCUCGAAAAGGACAUGUAUUUAUAGAAGAGGCGUUGCCAAGCGUCGUCAACAAAUGUCAACUUCCAACUACCGCAAUUAUCAUGUCUGCGAAGGAAGAAGAUGGAUGUUUGGCCUUCCCGGUGAAUGCAUCCUUCAACUCAGAGAUGGAAGAUGGUUCCCGAGUGUGAUCGGUGCGUCUCGUGCAUUUAUUAUAGAGGAUCGUCAUAUGCCUUGUUCGCUUUCAAUGUAAAUAAUUGACCCAAUCCGCGCGCAAUCUAAACCACAUAGUGGGCCCAUCACACAAUGCAUUUCUUUCUCAAGAUGUGUUUGCUUCACCUAUUUCAACUGUUUAUGCGGUCCACAUUAAAACUUCUGUCGGUUCUGCAAAAUUGGCUAAUUAUCGCUUCUUAAUGUUGAAAAUUUAUAACAAGUGUGUGUAAGACUCUCGAUUAAAAAUUUUAAACAUAUUUAGUCCCAAAUUGAUUAGAGUCAAUACCUAAUCAAAUACGAAAAGAUCAUCCCUCCACUCCUACUUAACAAUUUAUUAACAUUAAAAGAGUUCAAGAUUAAUAUUUUUUGAUUGACGUAAAUAAUUUGUGAAAAAUAAAGGUAUUAUUUUGAAUAAAAUAAAUAGUAAAAAAAGGAUCAAAUUGAUUAUGGAAACGUCACAUUUUCACGAAUCAUAAAGCAGCAGACUGCAUCAGUAAGUAAUAUAUAAUUUUGGAUAAAAAUAAAUACUAAAAAAGAUGAAGGGGGAAAUGACGAUGUGAAGAAUCCACAGAGGUGGCUCUCCUCUCUGUCCUCUUCGGUAGCAACAAGCACGAUAUGGUGAUCAAGGCCCGAUCUCUUACUAUUCCUUCUCGUCCAAUUUUCCCAAUCUUGGUUAGAGUUUUAAUUUGAUGGAGUGCUUGACGCCGUCUUGUAGUUUUUUGAUGUCAAAUUCUUGGUUCGAUCUACUGUUCGAUCAAAAUCUUUGAUGGUCCUAUAAACUAGUUGCUCUAUGAUCAACAAAAAUAUUAGGGAUAAUCCUAAUAUUUUAGUAUUUGAUAGGGAUAAUCCUAACACUUGCCAGCUCUUUCAUCAUAUAGGUUAAAGAAGCAACACCUAAGCAUCAGCAUGGGAGUCACCUGCUCCCUGCAACCGCUAGCAUAUAAACUCAUCUAGUUUGAGUUGCAUCACGGGAUAAAUCUGAGGAAUCUAUAUAUUAAAAAAAUCCACCCUUUAUAUUGUUAUUGUCAUAUGAUAUUGGGGUAGAAUCUAAUAAAUGACACAGUUACUCUACAUACACACACACUUAUAUAUAGUCUUAUAGAUGUGGACAUGUGACAUCAACUAAAUGAGCAAUCUAAAAACUAAAAUGCAUUUGUACCUAUUAAGUUUUGUUUUCCAACAUAUAACUUAAUUUAAGAGGGCAAUGCACCAGUUAUGAUUCAAGUAUUAUUCAACAACAUUCACUAAAUCACUCGAGGUUUUAAGAGUCAAAUUUAGAUAAGGACCAGGACAAAAUGAAACUCAAUCAUGAAAAUUAAAACUUCUAAAUAGGAAGAAAUACAAUAUCAUUUUGUUCAGAUAAGUACACAACAUUCCCGUAUUAAUCUCUAUAUUGUAGCCUACUAAUUUAAAGGCACUGUAAGAUUACAAUGUAAUCAACCUAAAAAUAGGCCCCUUCCUCAGCGUCACCAAUUGCAUGUAGCCAUCAUCUAAAACGUCGUCUUAUAUGGUUCUGUAAGAAGACUCUUAUAGAAGUUUUUAUGUGCCCACAUAUUAUCAACAUGGGCCGUGCCACAAUGCAGAAAGCCUUACUCAUGCAACAUUAUUAAAUCAUUCAUAUCCAAAGGAAUUCAUGAAUCACAAUAAAUAGCUACUAACCUCCUUGAUAACAACUAACAAUGUAGAGGAGACCUAAAAAGGUCUAAAUUAUAAGACCCAUAAGUUUAAUCGAUGACAACUUGUUUCUUAAGCACCAUCGUGCGAGUCACUUAUUUCCUAAUAAGUGAUGUGAUUUUUAGAAAGUAAAUAAUAUACAAUCCUUUUUCGUGUGUGAAUAAUAACGAAUGAAUAUUAUAUUUCUAUCUUUAUAUGUGAAAAUAAAAUAAAAUUAAAUUUAAAAUAAUAAUUAAAUAUUUACUAAUUUUUAGGGAGAUUUCAUCUUCUUCUAUAUAAACUAGCUCCCCCUUCCUCAUUCCACACCGAGCAAAAUAAAAGUAUUGAAGAAAAGAUAUUUCAAGAAGAUGAUUUUGAGGUGAGGUAAGAUCCUCUAUUCUUUUCUAAUCAAAUUUUAUUCAUAUUUUAAAAUCUUUAAUAUUAAAAGAUUUUCUAUUCUAUUCUAAUCAGUUUUGAUUCAUAUUUUGAAAUCCUUGAUAUUAAAAUUGUUGUGAUCGUAUGAUGCAUAAUAAUAUUUUAAUUUUAAAAUUUUAUAAUUAAUAAAUAAUGAUAAUUGAUUUAUAAUGUUAGAAUGAUUAUUUGAUUUAUAAUGAUCUUUUAAACUUAAGUAACUUUUAAGAUUGAUUUAAUUAUUAAAACUUUUAUUAUUUUAGAUUAAUAUAAUAGUUUUAAUUUAUUUAGUUAUAUAUAUUUAUAUUUUAAGAAUUAGCUAUAAAUUUGAAUGACUUAAUUAGUUUUAAAUUUAAGAUUAUGAAUUUAAAAUUUUUAAUUUAUGAAUUUAAAAUAUUUUUUUAAUAAUUUAAAAUAUUAAAAAAUUUGAUAAGAUGAGCCAGUCUGACUUGAGGUAGGUUGAUCUGUCAAAUUGAGUCAAUCCAACUCUUAUAUCAUAUUUAUCAUAAUUUAUAUUAUUUUUAGAUUUAUAAAAUAUAUAAAUAUAUAUUUAGCUCAUACUUAACUCAUGACAAUCAUAUUAUUCUAAACAUACUUUCUAAAAUAUAUUAUACAUAUAAUAAGAUAUAUGACUAUUAUUAUAUAGUAAAUUAAAUUUAUACUUAUCAGAUUAAAUUUAAAAAUAAAGAUAUUAAUAAAAAAAUAUGUUCCUUAAUGAUUGAGUGUGCUGAAGAGCAAUAGACCUACCAAACUACGAGCAAAAGGUUAUGAGAUGCUUUAAUUAAGAAUCUUGCAUCUUCAAUUAUUGAUUUAUAGUAUUUUAUAAUAAUAAUUCAUUACAAAAAUAUUUUUUAUAAAUUAAGUUAUACUCAACCUAUCAAUAUCUCAAGUUAUUCCUGAUAGGGGAGUCACCGUGGAGUCAACGGGGAUACGGACCAUGACGCCAGCCAUCCCAUGGUGGGACAAUCAAAGUGACUCCCCUCAGGAAGUGAUGGCGACGCGACAUAACAUGACACCCUCUGCGCGUGGGCCGCACCCUGCCCAAGUGAACGGGCAUUAACGCUGACUCGACGUUCCCAACGUCACCCCCUCAACCAACGACUCCCUCGCCCAUACCCUGCGACACGAUGGUCCGCCACGCAACCCUAAUGGCAAUGUCAAAUCCAGCCAGAGGCACGACCCUAUUCUGACAAGUAGGAACAUCAGGUAAUGUCAGACCCAAACUAUAAAAGAGUCCAGGGCCUAAAGGCCAAAGGGGAGAACUCUACACAGAAAAAAGCCCUUCUCGCCCACUAAUUGGAUCGUCGGAGGGGUUGGGCCAUCAGGACGGCCCGACCUUUGUGCAGGUACACGGCGGCCGACCACCGGGGAUUUGCAGCCGGCCAUCUCUGAAGGCCACCCGCCGAUCGGGUUUGCCCCGAGCGCUCACCCAAAAGGCGUCAAGAGGCUCUACCCAUGAUCUUCGGCAUCCGGACCCCUGAACCGAGCCUUAUCGUCCCGAGAUCACGGCUCAAGCAGGUGCAGACCGCAUCAAUUCCUUGUCCGUAGUAGCUAAAAUUCAACUAUAUUUAGUAUCCAAAGAUUAGAGAUCCAUGAUAAAGUAUGAUGUCAGUAAUUAUGUAUUAAUUGCGUGAUAAAAAAGGUGAAACAUCGUUUGUCCAUUCUCAUAUUUGCUUCCAUGUCCAAUGCUUUAAUUACAUUAUAUUAUAUGCGACAUCGACACGGUCUCAUGUUCACAGAAACACACAACACUAACAAUAUGAUCCAUCGACCAUUUUGUACCCACUUGUUUCAGUUUUCUUUGUGUGUUUCCAGAAAAAAAAAGGCUUUAUGUAGAACGAAGUUUGAUAAUUUUUUAGAAUUAUAGUAGAUUAUAAUGAAAAAAUUGACAGAUAACCUAUCCUUAAUGUCACUCUACAGGAUAUGAGUUUUAUACCACAUAAUACUCCUCGUUUAAUUCUUUCCAAGUAAUUAGAUCUUUUUCUUCAUUCAAGAAUUUUAUAUGAUGCAUAAAAGCAUUCAUGAAUUUUAUAUAUAUAUAUAUAUAUAUAUAUAUAUAUAUAUAUAUAUACUUUAUUUUAUUAUAUUGAGUUUGGCUGUACAAUAUUAUUUUAGUUGAUCUUAUUAACCACUUUACAGUGUGGUCCGAUGCACUACGAAUUCUAAAUAGGAGAAGAAUUGAUUUACUACAGUCAUAUAUACCUAAAAAAUAAAACAUGUCACCGUACUUUGCUGCCAAAUAUCGACGUUUGUAAAACCUUUUCUUUCUCAAUAAUAAGAAGCUUUAAUUUAUUUUAAGAGAAAGAUGAAGAACAAAGUGACACGUAGAAUAGCAUUUAGUUCAGCCUUUUGUUUUGUCCUUAUUCCAAUUACUGUCUUCGUGGAGUGACGCCAGAGGCCGAGCUUCUUUGUGCCUUGUAUUAAGCUUCGGUGACGGCCACGUCGUUUAAUCAUGCGAUGGCACUGCGACCGACGUCGGUGUAGUAGAUGACGUAGACGUCGAAGGCGGCGACGAGGCCCUCGACGGAGGACGUCACCAGCUUGCUCGCCAGCUUCCCCCAUGCGUACUGGAAAACCCCCGUCCCACCCACGAUGGCCCGCUCCGCCUUCCCGGACGCGUCCAGUCUCCCGAUCGCCGUGAGCGUGCUGUCGGCGAACUCUCCCGUNNNNNNNNNNNNNNNNNNNNNNNNNNNNNNNNNNNNNNNNNNNNNNNNNNNNNNNNNNNNNNNNNNNNNNNNNNNNNNNUUAGACGAUAUUUUAGACUCUCUUAAAAAGGUAAGUAUGUAAGCAUCAUCAUAAUAAUAUUUUAGAGAUUAACAUUAGAAAGGAUUUCAAAUCCUCAAUUCAAAGUUGAGUCUUUUAGAUGUAAGAAUAUCUCAAACUAAAUUCUUGAAUCAUCAAUCAAUAAGUGAAUUUUUAUCAUGUUUAUAGAUUAAAAUGAAUCAUAUACAAUUAAUGAGACUUAGCAUGAUAAAUUUAAGUAAUUCUUAUUGAAAAUAUUUAUGUACGUGAGAUAAAAAAAGAUGAGAGAAAAGUAAUAUAUGACUAAAGAUUGAAGGAGUCAGAGUACAGAAAGUCGGUUUGACAAGUAACACCACGUUUAGCCUUCCUCUUGAACGCCGGUCUCGUUCCAAAAUCGCCGGCCGGACCACUUCGCUCUCCGCCGACAACACGCAACGUCUAGUUUCGCUGGGAUAUGGGUGAUGCGGGUCAAAGUAGAUGAAGCCAUCGACAUGAACGAUGUCGUCUGUAUUCGUCUCUAUCCUCGUCUUCUCAUCUCAGGACAAUAUCUUCCACCUCACGGUAUCAUACGUUGCAUGGUAGGUGAACAAGGAGGAAAGCCAUCAUCCAUGGGGCUGCUUUUGGUUGGUUAAUGGUGAGGGUUCCAUCACAUUUGUUCCGUGUGAUACACGUUUUCUUUCCACCUUUGGUGAAAGAAGAACAUUUGGUGACUAUAAGGGCAUAUUUGCAUAUCAAAUUUGCGAUAAAAAGGGAUGUGGAUGAGACCAUCAAUGUGAUUGAUGCCUCAAUUUUGGAGAAGGAACGCACGUCGUUUACGAUUGCUGCUCUUCGUUACUCGUCGAUCUCCUCAUCCAUCAGUAUGAACUGGAUGAGAGAAUAAUAUUCAAAUUACUCAUUUAAUAUUUUUCUUACUUAAUAGGAGUUUCUAUAGCUCAUGAUUCAUAACUUUAUUUUUGUCCCUUGUAUAAGAGCUGAUUUAAGUUUCUGUAUAGUUUUAUCAAUAGUGUUUUUUAUGCUAGUUUUACUUAUGACGCUGAAUGGCUUAUCUUAAUAACAAACUGAGCAUUCAUUUCAUUAAACAUUUAAUUAGANNNNNNNNNNNNNNNNNNNNNNNNNNNNNNNNNNNNNNNNNNNNNNNNNNNNNNNNNNNNNNNNNNNNNNNNNNNNNNNNNNNNNNNNNNNNNNNNNNNNNNNNNNNNNNNNNNNNNNNNNNNNNNNNNNNNNNNNNNNNNNNNNNNNNNNNNNNNNNNNNNNNNNNNNNNNNNNNNNNNNNNNNNNNNNNNNNNNNNNNNNNNNNNNNNNNNNNNNNNNNNNNNNNNNNNNNNNNNNNNNNNNNNNNNNNNNNNNNNNNNNNNNNNNNNNNNNNNNNNNNNNNNNNNNNNNNNNNNNNNNNNNNNNNNNNNNNNNNNNNNNNNNNNNNNNNNNNNNNNNNNNNNNNNNNNNNNNNNNUAAUUGGAUAAGAUAUAUAAUAUAACUAAUUGUUGUAAGUAUUAGAUUUUGUGAUCCUUUUAUAAUUGGAUAUAUAUAUUAGAUAUAACAAGAGGUACGUCUGUAAACACGUACAGACGUACCUCUUGUUGGGAAAUCUUGGGGGCGACAUCACAUGCACAGCGGAAGAACAAGAAAACAAAAUCCUCUAUUCCCAAAGAGAUGUUCGUCGUCGUGCAAAGAUUGGUGCGCAAAAUCCGUGAAACUUAAAACUACGUAUAGAGUAGAUUGUGUUACCUAGGGAGAUCGUAUAUCCUUGUUUCGUUACAGCUUUUUAGGAGAGGAUGAAAGAGGUCAAGCGUCCUCCUCUCUAGCGGUGAUCUACAUAGUAGGGUUGCGACGAUGCUCCUCAAAACUCCAGGCCUGCUAUGAGGUGGAGAGGGAGAGGAGAAUAGGAGAGGCAAGCAAAUGCUCUAGCUCUGAAUCCCUCCUAUUUAUAGAAGCCCCUUGUCAAAAACCUAAUGGAUCCUCCCCUAGUGGAUAUUGGAUCUACAUCUAAUUACCCAAGCCUUUUAGAUUAGUGGAUCUUUAUCCAAUAAUAUCACAUUGGCUCUUAUUGGAUCUCGUCCAUGGGAUCCAAUAAUUCAUGGGCUUAUUGGAUAUCCAAUAAGACAAGGGCUCUAGCGGAUAUCUCAUAUCCGAACCUUUACUUAUCGUAAUGCCUACCAUAUGUGUGUGACCCUCUAGACCCAAUAUCGAGUUGGCUGUGAGUUAUACUUGUCAGAACUCCUUCUAACUUAGUGAAUUAUUAUCUAUGCAAUAAUUCACUCGACUCAUCGACUACGGACGUAUUAGACCACUACGUCGUAGUCCCCAGACGAUACAGGGGAAUCCAAUCCAUUGGACCUGUCUGUCCUUAGUUACCGUGUACUUAUAGUCCCUCAUCCACCUAAUAUCCCAGAGACCGUAUAUCGAGCAUGGUGUUGUUAGACUCAUACGGUUUUUACUCGAGUCUCGCUCUACUCGGAUUCUCCCGGAGAACUGUUUCUCUCUUAACCCGAAUGGCCCUAGCCAGGGAUUUGUCUGAGCAAGAACACAUGGGAUAUUCCUCUCAUGAUGUCGAGAGUGGAUGAUUCUCUAUCGACACUCAAUAGCCCUCGUAAUGUCGACUGUCACUCCCAAUGACAAGUUGUAUUAGAUCUGGGACAGCCAAACCUAUAAGUCUGGUAUCAAAGAGUGGAGCACUCAUACAGGACAUCCUUGGUGUCUCAAGUCUAAGGACCAGAUACACCACUAGGACUACGGAAUUGCUGUCUAACAAUAAGGCAUCAUUAACCAUCCAACAUUCCGUAAGAGGAUCAAUCAAUUAACUCAUUCUCCAAUGAGCACCUAUACUAUAUCCCUAGUGUCCCUAUAUGAGCAACUAUGAAACCAACUGCAUCCAUCAUAUGGACGAGUAUACAGCACACCAAUUUGUCCGGUUAUUAUGAUGUCUCUUUCGAGUAACCUAUGAUCGGGAUUAUUUAUGAUAUGUGUUUAAAGGUAAAUCGAUCUUAUUAUCGUGAUCUCAUCACGAUCUGAUUCCCAUUGCACAGAUCCAAGGACAUCACAAUAUAUACAUGCAUAUAUGCAAUAGUUAAUAUAAAGUGAUAAAUAUCAAAAUAUAAUAAGUAAAAAAAAGAUUCUGUGUCAAGUCACACGUGUAUCACUCACGUGAUUGGCUUGUUGGGCACCUAUAACUAGCACCUCUCCGUCUCCAUUGAGGGAUUAUAGUUUUCUCAAAAAAAUCAUCAAUCUAAUUGGUCCCGUGAAAGGAUAGAAAGAGAGGAGAAAGGAUAUACUCAUUGUAGAUUCUGCAACGAUCUUGGAUUAAAGACGGUGCAUUGAAGAUCAAACAAAAAUAUUUGAACAAGCAUCAAAAGGUACGUAUCGUUAAACGAGAUCUAUGUAUUUGAUUUCAAUCCUGGUAUAAAGGUUAUUUUCGUAUUUUAAACAACACAUUACAGUUUUUUUGCUUACAAUUUGGUAUCAAAGCCUGGUUUUUUAAAUCAAACACAUUAUAUCUAUUAUUUUGAUGCAUGAUUGGCUUAGGUUUUGCAAAAUUAUAGUUUUACCCUUUGUAAAUUUCAUAAUUCUGAUUUAUGUUCUGUCAACAUAUUUAUGGUUUUUGUCAUCGGGUCUAAUUUCUAUCAAAUUAUAGUUCUACCCUUUAUAAAUCACAUGAUUUCAAUUUAUAUCCUUUCAAAUAUUUAUAGUUUUAUCGAAAUUGAGAAAUUUAGUUUAUAUUCUCAAUUAUAAAAUUGAUAAAUAUGAUUUAUUAUAAUUAUGAUUAAAUUUAAUCAUAAUUAUAUUUUUGAUUAUUUUAUUAUAUUUAAUUUUGAUAAAAAAUAUAAAUUAUGGUUUACUUUAUAGUUUUCUCAUAUGAAAUAUUAAUUAUAUAUGUAGUAAAUAAAAUCAAAAUAUAAUUAUUAUUUUUAAAAUUUUAUUUACUUAUUCACAUGUAUAUAUUUGAAAUUAUGAAAUAAUGUUUAUCUUUCACAUGAAGGCAUGAUUUAUAUGUUAUCAUGAUUAUCAUAUGAGUUUUCUUUUACUGAUUAAAGUUCAAUAAUUAUUAUGGUUAUUCUAUUAUUGAACUGCUUAGUGGGACUUGAAUGAGCUAACUAGCAUGUGUGGGACUUGAAUGAGCUAACUAGCAUGUGUGGGACUUGAAUGAGCUAUUAUUCACUAUAAUACAAAUAAGGAUAAGUGGGACUUGAAUGAGCUAACUAGCAUGUGUGUUCAGGAAGAAUUGAGAUUAAGACAGGAAAGUUCAUAUAAUGUCAUUACUACUACUCAAGGAGGUGGUAAUAAGAAAAGAAAGUUAAAGCAUCAUCCAUCAAAGAGAUUUGUCGAGUCUGAAAAUGUUAAACAGACUAAUGGAAAGAAAGUCUUUACUGUAAAGUAUUUUUUUUGUGACAAGAAAAGAACAUGUGAAGAAGGACUGCAUUAAAUGCAAGACUUGGUUCGAAAAUAAAGGUAUUAAUUCGACCUUUAUAUGUUUUGAAUCAAACAUUACAAAAGUUCCUUCAAACACUUGGUAGAUUGAUUCUGAUGCUUCAACUCAUGUUACCAAUAAGGAUUUCUUUCAAUUCCAAAACCAAAAGAACAUUAAAGAUUUAUUAAUAUGGGAAAUCGUCUUAAAGCGAAAGUGAUAUAAAUGAGAACUUAUCAUCUACGCAUAGAGACGGGUCACCUGAUGGAUCUUAUUGACACAUGUUAUGUCCCUACAAUUUCUAAAAAUUUAGUUUCUUUUUCUAGAAUUGAUGAGUUAGGAUAUUGUCUUUCUUUUGAUAGUGGCAAACUCAGUAUGUUUUAUGAUUCAAUAAAAGUUAGUUCCGGAAUUCUGUAUGAUGGUUUGUAUAGAAUUAAUUUGGAUAUUGAGUUUACAAAGACAUUAAUAACCCUACAAUCAAGUGUUAGAUUGAAACGUAGUUUCAAUAAUGAAAGAUCUUCUAUAUUGUGGCAUAUACGAUUGGUGCAUAUCUCCAAGGAAAAAAUUGAAAGAUUAGUGAGGAUAAUAUUUUGGAACAUUUAGACUUCACUAAUUUUGAUAUUUGUAUAGAUUGUAUUAAGGGAAAGCAAACUAAACAUAUAAAGAAAAAUGCCACAAGAAGUAAAGAAUUCGUUCAGAUUAUUCAUGCUGAUAUCUGCGGACCACUCCAUAUUCCUUGUUUUAGUGGAGAAAGGUAUUUUAUCACAUUUAUAGAUGAUCUGUCCAGAUAUGACUAUGUUUAUCUAAUACAUAAAAAGUCUCAAGCCAUUGAUACAUAAAUGAGGUCGUGAGACAAUUAGAUAUAAAAGUUAAAAUUGUCAGAUCUGACAAGUUUAAUGAAUUUUAUGGUAGAUAUGAUGGAUCUGGUUAGAAUAUUGGUUCUUUUGCUAGAUUCCUAGAACAAUGGGAUAUUUAUGCUCAAUAUGUAUUACCAGGUGUGCCAUAGCAGAAUGAUGUUGCUGAAAGGGGAAAUCAUACUCUUAUGGAUAUGGUUAGGAGCAUGAUAAGUUAUUCCUCUGUACUUAAGUCGAUGUGGUGUGAAGCUCUUAUAACAGCUAUGUACACAUUGAACAGGAUUCUUAGUAAGUCUGUUUCAUCGACUCCAUUUGAGUUAUGGACUGGUAGGAAGUCCAGUCUAAGACAUUUACAUAUUUGGGGGUGUCCUACAAAGAUAAAAGUAUUUAAUCCAUAUGAAACGAAAUUUGAUCUAAGAACUAUUUCAGGAUAUUUUAUUGGUUAUCUAGAAAAAUCCAAGGGAUACAGAUUUUAUUGCCCUAAUCAUAGUAUGAGGAUAGUAGAAUCUAGUAAUGCAAAAUUAUUAGAAAAUGGUGAAAUCAAUGGGAGUAAAAAAUCUUGAAUGAUUAAUUUUGAUAUUGAGGAGAUUUAGGUUAAUUCUCCUAUAUCAUCUCUUAUUUAAGAGAUUGUUGUUCCUCAAAUCAAUGAGAGUAUUAAUGAGGGUGAAUAAUAAAAUAACAUCGAAGAACUCUCACAUAAUGUUGAUGUCACCGCUGAUGAUCUUGUAGAACAAUCACAAUUGGCAGAUUUAAGAAGAUCUCAAAGGAAAAAGAAACAUGUCAUUUCUGAUGAUUAUGUGGUAUAUUUACAAGAAUCAAAUUAUUAUAUAGGAAUAAAAAGAGACCCCUUAUCGUUUCCACAAGCUAUAGAAAGUAAUGAUUAUGAAAAAUGGUAUGAUGCAAUGAAAGAAGAGUUAAAAUCAAUGGUUCAGAAUGGUGUCUAAGAUCUCGGUGAAAUGCCCAAUAAUUGUAAAAGAGUCGAUUGUAAAUGCGUCUUUAAGAUAAAAUGUGACUCAACGUGCAAUAUCAAACGAUUUAAAGCCAGACUUGUGGCCAAAGAUUUUUCUCAAAAGGAAGAUAUCGACUAUAAUGAGACUUUUUCUUCAGUUUCUAAAACAGACUCAUUGAGAAUUAUCAUGACAUUAGUAACUCAUUAUGAUCUUGAGUUUCAUCUGAUGGAUGUGAAAAUAACAUUUCUGAAUGGGGAUCUGGAUAAGGAAAUCUAUAUGGAACAACCUGAAGGAUUCGUAGAAAAGGGAAAAGAAGGUUAGGCUUGUAAACUUAAGAAAUCUAUUUAUGACAUUAAACAAACUUCUAGACAAUGGUAUAUAAAGUUUCAUAAUACCAUUACUUCCUUCGGAUUUAAGGAAAAUACUGUUGAUCAGGGUAUAUAUCUGAAGGUAAGUGAGAGCAAGGCAGCCUAUGUUAUUAGUAUUGAGAUAUUCAGAGAUAGAUCUCAAGGAUUAUUAGAAUUAUCUCAGAAAGGUUAUAUUGAUCGUAUGUUGGAGAGAUUUAAUAUGCAACUUUGCUCAGCCAAUGAUAUACCUAUUACUAGAGGUGAAAAUUUCAAUUAAAACCAGUGUCCAAGAAAUGACUUAGAAAAGAAUCAAAUGAAAAAUAUUCCUUAUGAGUGCGUAGUUGGAAGUCUAUUAUAUGCUCAAACUUGUACAAGACCAGAUAUCAAUUUUGCAAUUGCAAUACUGGGAAGAUACCAAAGCAACCCAGGAAUGAAACAUUGUAAAGCUGCAAAGAAAGUAAUGAGAUAUGUACAAGGAACGAAAGAUUAUAUGCUCACAUAUAGGAGAUCAGAUCAGCUUGAAGUAAUAGGAUAUUCAGAUGCUGAUUUUGUAAAUUGCCUCGACAGUAGGAAGUCCACUUCAGGAUUUAUAUUUAUGUUAGCUGGUGGGGCAAAUUCUUGGAAAAGUGUAAAGCAAUCACUUAUUGCAUCAUCCACAAUGGAAGCUGAAUUUGUGACAUGCUUUGAGGCCACAAAUCAAGUUUUAUAGCUGCGAAAUUUCAUCUCAGGAUUUGAUAUGGUCGACUCAAUUGCCAAACCACUGAAUAUAUUUUGUGAUAAUACCACAACAGUUUUCUUCUCUAAGAAUGACGAGUAUUUUAGUGGUUCCAAGCAUAAUGAGAUAAAGUACUUUGUAGUUAGAGAAAGAGUCCAGAAACAGCAAGUGCCAAUUGAGAACCUGAACACCACUAUGAUGAUUGCUGAUCCAUUAACAAAGGCCUUACAAUAUAGAAUAUUUAAAGAACAUGCUCUUAGAAUGAGGCUUGUGCGCAAGUCAUAAAGGAUAUGAUGACACAUAUUUAUAUGGAUGUUAUUAUUAAUAUUCUUCUUGCUUAAUUAAACUUAUUUGUUUCUGCCAUCCUUUUUACAUUUAUGUUUAUGCAUAUUAUAGUUGAAUGUAAUAACAAGAUAAAUUAUCAUUAUAGACUAUAUUAGGAAAGACUAACAAUGUUGUGGUACAUAGAAGGAAGUAUGACAUUGAUGAAAUACAACCGCUAUGAUUCGUAUUGAUAGUUGGACUUAAUAUAGUAUUAUUAUGUUUAUUGGACUUAUUGGCUUAUUAAAAAAAAAACAUGGCCACGUAUAAAAUAUUUUUCAAAAUUCUUUAGAAUCCAAUUAGGUAAAAUUAUUUUUUAAAUAAAUUUUAUUUUUAUUUAUUUUGAUUUUGAUUAUCUCUUUUAUAUCUUAUCAAUUAAUGGAUCAAGUGGGAGAAUGUUAGAUUUUCUGAACAGAUGACAUCAAACAAAAAUUUCUGAACAAAUGACAUCAAAAGAUAGCAUCGUUAAACGAUAUCAAUAUAUUUGAUUUCAAUCUUGACAUAAAGGUUAUUUCCGUAUUUUAAACAGCAUAUUACUGUUUUUAUUUUUACAAUAAUAGGUUUUCAUUCAUAAUUUUAUUAAACGAGAUCGACAUUUCUUUUUAUUUCAGCCUUAUCAUAUAAUAGUUCAUCUCCUGACAUAUCUGAUCGCCGUGGCUUUAAUUAUCGUCUCGCGGAUCACGCGAUUGCGGUGAGACGGACGUCGUCAUAAUAGACGACAUAGAUGUCGAAGGCGGCGACGAGUCCCGCUUUGUCGGACGUCACCAGUUUGCUCACCAUGUUCCCCGACGCGAACUGGAACACCCCCGUCCCUCCCACGAUGGCCCGGUCCGCCUUCCCGGAGGUGUCCAUCCUCCCUAUCACCGUGAGCGUGCUGUCGCAGAAGUCCCCCGCCGUGAACACCAGCACCAGCGGUAUCAGCGACGACUCGUCCCGCUGCGACGCGUGGAAGCUCACGCCCUGUGCCCUCCCGACUUCAGUCGAACGCUUGGAGGGGCCGGUCCUCAGCACGGCGUCGAAGAUGUCGACGUCCCCGAAGGUGUUGGGGAGGCUCAUGUUCACCACGGUCACGGUGGUGUUGUCGGGGCCGAGAAAGGUCUCGUGGAAGUAGACGCGGAAAUGGAUUCUGCUCUGCCGGCCGAGUUCGAACUCGGAGGUCACCGGGAAGGCCGUGGCAGCAGCCAGGAGGAGGAAGAAGACGAGGAGGAAGUAGAGAUGAGUGAAGCUAUUUGGGGAUGAAGCCAUGGCUAGGAUGACCGAAGGAUCGAAGUGAGGUGGGUACAACGCUGGAUCAGGAACAUGUAUUUAUAGAGUAAAGUCUGUGCCAUGCGUCGUCAACAAAUGCCAACGUCCAACCAAAUCUCAUUAUCAUGUCUACAUAAAAUACUCAAACGAAUAUUACUCUUGCAGGCGAAGGUAUCCGCGUAGGGAAGAAGAUAGCAUAUAGUAACACGAUGUACACACCAUAUAGUCUUCUCCAUGAAUAAAUAAAUAUAUAAAUAUAUAUAUAUUUUUUUUAAAUAUAUUAAUAUAUAUGAUCUCUAGCAAUGGAUAUGGGUAACUGAGAGAUGGAGGGAUGAUAGUUGGAAGCAAUGGCCGAUAAGGAUAGUGUUGCGUCUUUUGCAAGUGCCAACUGGCCACCUGUAGCUCGUCAAUUUGCUUGUUAAUUAACGAACCACAUUGGCAACGCUAUCUUUCUUUAUGUGUUUCAACACAGAUGUACGCGGUUGGCUGAUGGCCGUCAGUCCCGUUUGUUCGCAUCUUCAGUUGUUGACAUGUGGUAAUGAAGUGUUGGUUCCCAUGCGUGACCGCUACCCCACCACUGCACUUAAAGUCGCGACGUAAUUAUUGACCGACGGUGCGAUGCAAAACCUUCUCUCGCCAAUCAAGUCAUUCGUGACUCAAGUGGCGCUAUUAACCAUCUUUUGCUUUACAGUAAUCAAAGAAAAGCUCACAUGAUUUGUUCUCAUAUCAGCAUAGCAAAUGAAUUUUAUGUGAAUUUUAAUAUACAUACAUAUUCUCUCCUGUCAAAACAUAUCCUAAACUCAUGUUUAUUUUCACCACUAUAUAUAUCAACACGAGACCAAAAAACAAAAAGGGAUGGGAUGACAUAAAGCAUGUCAAUGUUGAUGGGGAUAUAAAGAGGAAUAACCUUUUGUAUAUGAACAAAUACUAGAAGACCAUAUACGCAGCGAAAUAAAAUGGAAACACAAUCAAAUAGAACACCAAGAUAUACGUGGAAAAUCCCUUCAAUGUGAAGGGUAAAAACCACGGGGCAAACUAGAGAUAAUCCACUAUGAGAAUAAUGAAUAUACAAAUCUCAAUCUCUUACCCAAAACCCUAGCAAUAACCACAAGAGGAUAACUGGGAUACAAGGAUCACGUCACUGCCCACAAUAUCUAAAACCUCCCCAAGUAAUCACAGCAAGAGUCUACUGUAGAUUUGAUCUAACCUGAGAUGAGAACACUGCUAGAUGAUUGAGAACAGUCUCUCUGCGUUGUCCUUGUCUUCUUCCCUUUCUUUCUCUUAUUUUUCUACCUUGUUCUUCUCUCUUUGUUGUUACGAGGAUGUCAACGUUGCUGCCCACGUUGCUGCUUGUAAAACGCAGCCCCCACACCCCCCUUAUAUUGAUCUAGGGUUAGGUCAAAGGGGUGUGGGUUGUGGGCUGAAUCCACUUUGGGCUGCCAGCCCAACAACCUCCUCCUUCAGCCCAUAAGGGAGGUUGUCCCAUGACUCCUCAAUGUGAAGCCAUGCCGACCAACUGUCGGCAUAUCUCCUGUCUUUCUUUUGGUAAGGUCUUCGUCAACAUGACUGCUCCGUUGUCAUCUGUAUGAAUUUUCUGAAGCUGCAACUACUUCUCUUCAAAUACAUUUCGAAUCCAGUGGUAUCUAACAUCUAUAUUCUUUGACUUGGAAUGAAACAUUGGGUUCUUAUACAAAUGGAUGACACUCUGGCUGUCACAAUGCACCACAUAAUUUUCCUGUUUCAGCCCCAAUUCUUGUAAGAAUUCUUUCAUCCAUAAUAUUUCUUUGCAUACCUCUGUAGCAGCAAUAUAUUCUGCUUCUGUGGUAGAGAGAGCAAUACACCUUUGCAACCUGGAUUGCUAUGACACAGCUCCCCCUGUAAAAGUAAGUACAUAACCUGAAGUAGACUUCCUCGUAUCUAUAUCUCUUGUCAUAUCUGCAUCUUUGUAACCUGUCAACAUAGGUGGUCUACCUCCAAAGCUUAAAUAAACCUUAGAGCUCCCUUUGAGAUAUCUAAAAAUCCACUUCACUGCUGCCUAGUGCUCUUUGCUUGGAUUUGCAAGAAAUCUGCUAGUAACACCCACUGCAUAUGCGAUGUCUGGCCUUGUACAUACCAUUGCAUACAUUAAACUCCCAACUGUUGAAGCAUAAGGAACCUUUUGCAUUUUCUCCUUCUCCUCAUCACUUGAUGGGCUCUGUUCUGAGCACAACUUGAAGUGACUUGCAAGAGGAGAACCAACUGGUUUUGCAUUGCUCAUACUGAAUCUUUCCAAUACCUUCUCGAUGUAUUUCUUCUGUGACAACCAAAUCUUCUUGUUUUUUCUGUCACGAGAAAUCUGCAUGCCUAGUAUUUGCUUUGCUGGCCCCAUGUCCUUCAUUGCAAAAGACUCACUCAGUUCCUUCUUUAACCUGUCAAUUUUAGACAUAUCUUUCCUAAGAAUAAGUAUGUCAUCAACAUAAAGUAAGAGAAUAAUAAAAUCCUCACCAAACCAUUUGAUGUACACACAAUGAUAUGAAGUCGUUCUUUUAUAUCCAUUUUCUGUCAUAAAUGAAUCAAACUUUCUGUACCACUGUCUUGGAGCUUGCUUUAGCCCAUACAAGCUCUUCUUCAACUUGUAGACAAGAUUAUCUUUACCUUUGACUUUGAAGCCUUCUGGUUGCUCCAUAUAAAUUUUCUCCUCUAAAUCACCAUGAAGGAAAGCUGUCUUCACAUCUAACUGCUCAACCUCUAAGUCCUGGCUAGCAACAAUACCAAGAGCAAUACGAAUAGAAGACAUUUUAACAACAGGAGAAAAUAUCUCUUCAAAGUCAAUACAUUUCUUUUGACCAAAGCCUUUCACAACCAAUCUAGCUUUGUACUUUGGUUGAGAACAAUAUUCUUGAGUCUUCAACCUAAAAACUCAUUUGUUCUUCAAGGCCUUCAUUCCAUUUGGUAGUAGCACCAAAUCAUAAGUGUGGUUCUUCUGAAGAGCAUCAAUCUCUUCCUGCAUAGCAACUAACCACUUCUCUUUCUGCUCACUCUCAACUGCUUCCUGGUAACUUUCUGGUUCACCUGCAUCAGUAAGCAUCACAUACUCAUUUGUAGAGUAUCUUCUGGAAGGUUGACGUUGUCUAGAAGAUCUUCUCAACUGAGGUUCUGCGGGAACUUGCUCUCCUACUUCUUCUUGCUCAACAUGUCCUACAGGUAAAUCAACAUCAGGCUCUACACUAUUUUCCUGCACAUCUCCCCCAUCACCCUGAUAUACUGGAGGAAUAACUAGGUCACAAUCUGCUAAUCGUUCUGCAGAAGUCUUGGCUAGUGCCUUCUUCUUCAAAUCCUCAAAGGUUUGAUCCUCAAAGAAGACCGCAGCUCUGCUCCUGAACACCUUCUGCUUUUCUGGAUCCCAAAGCCUAUAACCAAACUGAUCAUGUGAGUAACCAAGAAAAAUACAUUCUUUAGACUUACCAUCCAGCUUGGACCUCUCAUUAUCUGGAAUAUGUGCAAAUGCACGACAACCAAACACUCUCAAAUGCCUAUAGGAAACAUCUUUCCUUGACCAUACAUGCUCUGCAACAUCACCAUCUAGGGUUGUACAUGGUGAUAAGUUGAUCACAUCAACUGCAGUCCUCAAAGCCUCAUCCCGAAACCUUUUGGGUAGCUUGGCCUGUGAAAGCAUACAUCUGAUCUUUUCCAUGAUGGUGCGGUUCAUCCUCUCUGCAAUUGCAUUAUGCUGAGGUGUACCAGGAACUGUCAUCUCAUGUUGGAUCCCAUGUGACCUGCAAUAGUCAUUAAACAAUCCCGUAUACUCACCACCAUUAUAUGAUCUUAUGCAUUUCAAUUUCCUUUCUGUCUCCCUUUCAACCCUGGCAUGAAACUCUUUGAAGACAUUAAUAACCUGAUCUUUGGUCUUCAAAGCAUAAGCCCAAACUUUCCUGGAAAAAUCAUCUAUAAAAGUGACAAAAUAAAGUGCACCACUUAUACCAAGAACAUCAACAGAUCCACCAGGAGUUUUUGUCCUCAAAGGACCACAUACAUCUAUAUAAACACGGUCUAAGGCAUGCAUUUUUCUAGACAAAGCAGCAUUAGCAAAUGAAACUCUAUGUUGUUUACCAGCCAAACAAUCAAUACAAGGGUUCAGAUGUAUACCUCUGAGAUCUGGCAAUACCUCUCUCUUGGAAANNNNNNNNNNNNNNNNNNNNCUAUACCUGUAUGUAGCAAAAAACUCUCUCCGAGGUGUAGCAUGAUAAGAAGCACCUAUGUCAAUCACCCACUCAAGAUCCUGACACACACAAGAAAAAAUAUCAUCAGAAUGAGACAAAAUCAAAUAAUCACCACCCUGCACUGUAGCUAUAGUAUUAUCCUUUGACUCUGUAGACUCCACUUCUUUUUCCUUUUUCUUGUUCUUCUUAGGUUGCUUACAUUGGUUCUUGUAAUGUCCUUUCUCACCACAGUUAUAGCAAACAAUAUCUUUUCUUGAUCUUGACUUGCUCCUACCCAUACGUGAAUUGCUUAUAGACUUUGACCUUCCUCUGUUCUCUGAGAUAAGUGCCUGUGAAUCAUUCUGAGAUGUUGCUGAACUCUUUCUUCUCAACUCCUUAUUCAACAAACUGCUUGUUACUUGACUCAUAGUGACAAUACCAUCUGGCGCAGAAUUACUAAAGGAAACCACCAGUGUCUCCUAACUUUCUGGUAAUGAACUGAGAAGUAACAAUGCCUGCAACUCAUCAUCAAGAGACAUUUUCAUAGAGGAUAACUGGUUAGUAAUACUUUGCAUUUCAUUCAAAUGCUCAGCAAUAGAAGCACCCUCUCUAUAUUUUAGGUUCACAAGUUUUCUGAUCAAAAAAGCUUUGUUGCCAAUUGUUUUUCUUUCAUAGAGACUUUCCAAUUUUUUCCAAAGAGAAUAUGCAGAAAUUGCAGUAGAAACAUGGUGAAAGACACUAUCAUCAAGCCACUGUCUAAUAAACCUAAUUGUUUUUCGAUCUAACCUCUUCCACUCAUCAUCUGUCAUAGUUGUAGGUUUUGCACUAUCCCCUUGCAAAGGUCCAUUCAAAUCUUUGCAAUACAAGAGAUCUUCCAUUCUUGGUUUCCAUAUCAUCCAAUUAUUUUCAUUCAAACUAAUCAUGCGAGAAACAUUACUGGCCUUCAUGUUCAAAUACAAAAAUUAAAUUACCAAAAUCCCGCUCUGAUACCAGUUGAUGGGGAUAUAAAGAGGAAUAACCUUUGUAUAUGAACAAAUACUAGAAGACCAUAAUACGCAGCGGAAUAAAAUGGAAACACAAUCAAACAGAACACCAAGAUAUACGUGGAAAACCCCUUCAAUGUGAAGGGUAAAAACCACGGGGCAAACUAGAGAUAAUCCACUAUGAGAAUAAUGAAUAUACAAAUCUCAAUCUCUUACCCAAAACCCUAGCAACAACCACAAGAGGAUAACUGGGAUACAAGGAUCACGUCACUGCCCACAAUAUUUAAAACAUCCCCAAGUAAUCACAGCAAGAGUCUACUGUAGAUUUGAUCUAACCUGAGAUGAGAACACUACUAGAUGAUUGAGAACAGUCUCUCUGCGUUGUCCUUAUCUUCUUCCCUUUCUUUCUCUUGUUUUUUUGCCUUGUUCUUCUCUCUUUGUUGCUACGAGGAUGUCAACGUUGCUGCCCACGUUGCUGCCUUUUUCUGCCUCUUUUCUGCUUGUAAAACGUAGCCCCCACACCCCCCUUAUAUUGAUCUAGGGUUAAGUCAAAGGGGUGUGGGUUGUGGGCUGAUAAAGCCCGGGCUGAACCCACUUUGUGCUGGCAGCCCAACAACGUUACAUGUGAAUCACGCCUACAUAAUCCUUGACCUACCAAAGGUGUGGUUGAUUGUCAAAGUUCAUCAUUAUUAUGUAAGGUAUAUAUUUUUUAAGCAGAUCGUCAAAUGCCAGCGCAUGCCGUGUUAUAUUUCAAAGUGCAUAGAUGACCCAAUCCGUGUGUAAUGUCUCCUACUUAGUUGUCCCCUCACGCAAUGCAUUUCUUUAUGAGUAUACGUAUACUUCCACCUGAUCACAACAUCCAUAUUAAAGCUUAUGUAGGUGCAGCGAAAUUAGUUAUUCGUCGAUAAAUAGGAGAAAAAUGGCUAACAAGUCUUAUUAAAACCAUUAAUUAAGAAUUUAGAGAAGAGAUAGUAUCAUAUUUGAUUUCACAUUGAUCAGAGACUUAGGGAAUCAAUACCUAAUACCUAAUAAAGAGUCAAAUACAAAUUUUCUUUUUUUGACAGACAACUUUUGGGAUCCACCUUAAAAAAGGAAAGAUCAUGUGGUUCCGCUUAACAAUUUAUGAUUCAAAAGAGCUCGUGAUUGACCUUUUAUUCAAUGGGGUGAAUAAGUUUGUGAAAAUAAGAAUAUUAUUUGGAUAAAAAUAAAUAGUAAAAAAAUGAUCAAAUGGUGUGUGGACACGUGGCAUAUUCAUCAAUGUUUAAAGCAGCAGAUCGCACGAGUAGUAACAACUACCAAAGCACUCUCCACGAUGAGAAAGGGCGGCGGGGGCGGGGAAGUGACACGAUGUGAAAGAAUCAUAGAGGCGGCUCUCCUCUCUACCCUCCUUUCUCUUCUCCCUGCCACACGUCCUCCUCUUUAAUCGCAGAUUCGUGGACGAUCGAGUCCGGCGGCGACGAGCGCGAUGUGAGUUUGAGUCUCGUCUCUUGAGUGCAGUCAGAUUUCUGCACACAGAUCGAGAUCGGAAGAAAGAUUUUUUUGAUUUAACUCUUUCGAUGCCGAUCAGGGGGUUAGCUUUUAUACUUGCAAAUAAGGGUCGAUCGUACGUGAUCUGUUAAUAGUGGCCAACUCCUCGAGCGAUCGGUUUGUACCUCUUGUGCGAGCGUCGAUCGACCUACAUUGAUCCACAUUGUGUGACAUCGUUCCGAGCUUUCCGGAGUGGCUUUGUGCUAUGUAGCGUUGUCUCGUACGACCUCGGACAGUAUGAGAACAUGCGAUCGUCCUAUCCGAGUACGAGAUGUCACGUCGAUGCAAUGCAUCAUAUCAACCCUGAGGCUCCAUGUUGGCGCUGAUUGAUAGCAUAUAAGACAUCAUAUCAACCUUUGCCCUAUGAUCGAGGAAACGAAACCUAGUCUUAUGGUAUCUUUUUCCCCUCCGUUUAAAUUCACUUCUUCCCUUUGAUCACGCGUGUAAAAGAAGCUUAACCGGAGGAAUGUAAGAGUUGUCUCACGUUUUUGAGCUUUUUGUACCGUAACCUAAUAAGUUCUCUUGAUUUUAGAGUGAAUUAGGCAUUGCAUUUGGUUGAUAUGUAUGCAACUAAGUACAUCUGUACGUACAGCAGCAACUCAAGUGGAUAUGUGUUAUUUUCAGUUCCCAUCAAAACUUUGAAUAGUCGAUUUUAGUUUUUUUUUUAAAUAUGUAGCCAAAGAAAGUCCCUUUCACGGAAUCUUCCUUCGGCAUGCUGCAGUUGAUUAUAAAUCGAUCGUAAAAUAUAUAUUAAAAUGAUUUGAGGUUAAUAACCCAAGCAUAUAUUGAAUAAUAAUUUAUUGAUAAAAUUGUGUAUUAUUCGAUUGAAAGGAAACCGAAGGCAUGAUAAGUUUUUGUCUUAUGUUUGUUGUAUCAUCAAAAGACAUGAACCAAAAUACGGUUCACUGCUUCAACAUGAUCUUCGGUUUACAGAUGAAAGGCUAUAUUGUUCUUCAGCUUGAUGUUCCUGAUGGUCCAAAGUGAACUUGCUAAAAGAAAAAACACUCGUCAUGAUCACGAUGGAAUAAUAUUUCAAACUCUCAAUUUUUAAUAUAAAAUUGUAUGUAUCCAAGAGCUGGUUGGAGAAUUGUAUAUGAUAUGUCUAUAGUUCUCCGAGUUCUGAUAUUUUCGAAGUUUGUUUCAAUAGGUUUUUAUUCAUAAUAUUAAUAAACGAGAUCGAAUAAUUCUUUUUAUUUUAGCCUUAUUAUUUAUUCUGCAGACGUAAAGCAAGUUAAACAUUGUUAGCUCUUAUUUAAAUGCUGUAGCUUUCAUUAUCGUGUCUCGGAUCACGCGAUGGAAGUGAGACGGACGUCGUUAUGGUACAUGACGUAGACGUCGAAGGCGGCGACGAGUCCCGCAUCGUCGGACGUCACCAGCUUGCUCACCAUGUUCCCCGACGCGAACUGGAACACCCCCGUCCCUCCCACGAUGGCCCGGUCCGCCUUCCCGGACGCGUCCAUCCUCCCGAUCACCGUGAGCGUGCUGUCGCAGAAGUUUCCCCCCGUGAACACCAGCACCAGCGGUAUCAGCGACGACUCGUCCCGCUGCGACACGUGGAAGCUCACGCCCUGCGCCCUUCCGAAUUCAGUCGACCACUUGGAGGGGCCGAUCCUCAGCACGGCGUCGAAGAUGUCGACGUCUCCGAAGGUGUAGGGGAGGCUCAUGUUCACCACCGUGACGGUGCCGUUGUCGGGGCCGAGAAACGUCUCGUAGAAGUAGACGCGGAAGUGGAUUCUCUUAUGGAUGCCGAGUUCGAACUCGGAGGUGACGGGGAAGGCCGUGACAGCAUCAAGGAGGGGGGAAGAAGACGAGGAGGAAGUAGAGAUGAGAGGAGCUGCGUGGGGAUGAAGCCAUGACAAAAGGAUCGCGGGCACGAUGAAAAUAAUAGAAAAUAAGAAUAAUUAUUAAAAAAAAAUUAUUAAAAAAGUUUUAUUGAAGUACUUCAGCUUGAAUACAUUAAGUUGCCCAUGUACUAUUUAUACAGAUUAGGAGAGAGGAUUUUUCUUAACAGAAUAAAGGAUUUCACUCAAGAUGGUGCACCUGUCAAGGAUACCAAUCUUGGAUCGAUGCAAAGAAUGAUUUACGAGUUAGAGGCUUCAUGAGUAGGGCAAGAGCAGAUUGCUGUUGCUGUUGUUGCUGUUGCUAUUAUUGUAGCUGCGACAGCGAUAGCUGCAGUAGAGGAGAAAGCUACAGUAAUAGAAAAAGCUAUAGCAAUGCUGUAGCAGAGGAAUAAACUGCAGUAGAGAAGGAAAUUGCAGCAGAGGAGAAAACUACAGUAGAGGAGAAAGCUGCAAUGAUGCUACAAUAAAAAAGGAUACAACAAAGGAGGAAAGGUGGGGCAGUGCUGGUGAAUGUAGCACUAGAGACGUCAUAGCGGAAUAAGAGACGUUAGUGCAGAGUGGUAGUGGAUAAGACAGUUGUCGUUCACCGAGGAGGAAAGAUUUAAAGAUUUAUUGUCGGAGGUGGAAAAGAUGAGUCGGAGGAAAGAUUUAUCAUCGGAGGUGGAAAAGCAACAGAUGAGUCGAUAGCGAGAAGAAAGUAACAUAUGAGUCGAUACUUAAACUUAGAGAUGGAAGAUGGUUCCCGAGUGUGAUCGGUGCGUCUCGUGCAUUUAUUAUAGAGGAUCGUCAUAUGCCUUGUUCGCUUUCAAUGUAAAUAAUUGACCAAAUCCGUGCGCAAUCUAAACCACAUAGUGGCCCAUCAGACAAUGCAUUUCUUUCUCAUGAUGUGUUUGCUUCACCUAUUUCAACUGUUUAUGCGGUCCACAUUAAAUCUUCUGUCGGUUCAGCAAAAUUGGCUAAUUAUCGUUUCUUAAUGUUGAAAAUGUAUAACAAGUCUGUGUAAGACUCUCAAUUAAAAAUUUUAAACACAUUUAGUCCCAAAUUGAUUAGAGAUUUAAAGAGUUAAUAUCUAAUCAAAUACCUUGAAAGGAAAAGAUCCCUGCACUCCUACUUAACAAUUUAUUAACAUUAAAAGAGCUCAAGAUUAAUUUUUUUUUAUUGACGUAAAUAAUUUGUGAAAAAUAAAGGUAUUAUUUUGGAUAAAAUAAAUAGUAAAAAAAGGGAUCAAAUUGAUUAUUGAAACAUCACAUUUUCACGAAUCUUAAAGCAACAGACUGCAUCAGUAAGUAAUAUAUAAUUUUGGAUAAAAAUAAAUACUAAAAAAGAUGAUCAAAUGAAUUAUGGACACAUGCUAUAUCUACCAAUCUUAGUGCAGCAGAUUGCAUUAGUAACCAACGACCAAGAUGAGAAGGAAGGGGGAAAUGACGAUGUGAAGAAUCCACAGAGGUGGCUCUCCUCUCUGUCCUCUUCGGUAGCAACGAGCACGAUAUGGUGAUCAAGGUCCGAUCUCUUACUAUUCCUUCUUUUCCAAUUUUCCCAAUCUUGGUUAGAGUUUUAAUUUGAUGGAGUGCUUGACGCCGUCUUGUAGUUUUUUGAUGUCAAAUUCUUGGUUCGAUCUACUGUUCGAUCAAAAUCUUUGAUGGUCCUACAACCUAGUUGCUCUAUGAUCAACAAAAAGGAAACCUAAUAUUAUAGUAUUUGAUAGGUAUAAUCCUAACACUUGUCAGUUCUUUUAUCGUAUAGGUCAAAGAAGCAACACCUAAGCAUCAGCAUGGGAGUCACCUGCUCCCUGCAACCGCUAGCAUAUAAACUCAUCUAGUUUGAGUUGCAUCACGGGAUAAAUCUGAGGACUCUAUAUAUUAAAAAAAUCCACCCUUUAUAUUGUUAUUGUCAUAUGAUAUUGGGGUAGAAUCUAAUAAAUGACACAGUUACUCUACGUACACACACACACUUAUAUAUAGUCUUAUAGAUGUGGACAUGUGACAUCAACUAAAUGAGCAAUUUAAAAACUAAAAUGCAUUUGUACCUAUUAAGUUUUGUUUUCCAACAUAUAACUUAAUUUAAGAGGGCAAUGCACCAGUUAUGAUUCAAGUAUUAUUCGACAACAUUCACUAAAUCACUCGAGGUUUUAAAAGUCAAAUUUAGAUAAGGACCAGGACAAAAUGAAACUCGAUCAUGAAAAUUAAAACUUCUAAAUAGGAAGAAAUACAAUAUCAUUUUGUUCAGAUAAGUACACAACAUUCCCGUAUUAAUCUAUAUAUUGUAGCCUACUAAUUUAAAAGCACUGUAAGAUUACAAUGUAAUCAACCUAAAAAUAGGCCCUUCCUCAGCGCCACCAAUUGCAUGUAGCCAUCAUCCAAAACGUCGUCUUAUAUGAUUCUGUAAGAAGACUCUUAUAGAAGUUUUUAUGUGCCCACAUAUUAUCAACAUGGGCCGUGCCACAAUGCAGAAAGCCUUACUCAUGCAACAUUAUUAAAUCAUUCAUAUGCAAAGGAAUUCAUGAAUCACAAUAAAUUGCUAGUUACCUCCUUGAUAACAACUAACAAUGUAGAGGAGACCUAAAAAGGUCUAAAUUAUAAGACCCAUAAGUUUAAUUGAUGACAACUUGUUUCUUAAGCACGGUCGUGGGAGUCACUUAUUUCCUAAUAAGUGAUGUGAUUUUUAGAAAGUAAAUAAUAUACAAUCCAUUUUCAUGUGUGAAUAAUAAUGAAUGAAUAUUACAUUUCUAUCUUUAUAUGUGAAAAUAAAAUAAAAAUUAAAUUUAAAAUAAUAAUUAAAUAUUUACUUAAUUUUCAGAGAGAUUUCAUCUUCUCCUGUAUAAAGGAGCUCCCCCUCCCUCGUUCCACACCGAGCACAAUAAAAGUAUUGAAGAAAAGAUUUUUCAAGAAGAUGAUUUUGAGGUGAGGUAAGAUCCUCUAUUCUUUUCUAAUCAAAUUUUAUUCAUAUUUUAAAAUCUUUAAUAUUAAAAUAUUUUCUAUUCUAUUCUAAUCAGUUUUGAUUCAUAUUUUGAAAUCCUUGAUAUUAAAAUUGUUGUGAUCGUAUGAUACAUAAUAAUAUUUUAAUUUUAAAAUUUCAUAAUUAAUAAAUAAAUAAUAAUUGAUUUAUAAUGUUACAUUGAUUAUUUGAUUUAUAAUGGUCUUUUAAGCUUAAGUGACUUUUAAGAUUGAUUUAAUUAUUAAAACUUUUAUUUUAUUAUAUUAAUAUAAUAGUUUUAAUUUAUUUAGUUAUACAUAUUUGUAUUUCAAAAAUUAGCUAUGAAUUUGGAUGACUUAAUUAGUUUUAAAUUUAAGAUUAUAAAUUUAAAAUUUUUAAUUUAUAAAUUUAAAUUAUUUUUUUCAUAAUUUAAAAUAUUAAAAUCUAAUUUGAUGAGAGAAGUCUAACUUGAAGUCUGACUUGAGCUAGGUUGAUCUGUUAAAUCGAGUCAAUCCAACUCUUAUAUAUGAUUUAUUAUAAUUUAUAUAUUUUUAGAUUUAUAAAAUAUAUAAAUUCAUAUUUUGCUCAUACUUAACUCAUGAAAAUCAUAUUAUUUUAAACAUACUUUCUAAAAUAUAUUAUACAUAUAAUAAGAUAUAUGACUAUUAUUAUAUAGUAAAUUAAAUUUAUGCAUACUAGAUUAAAUUUAAAAAUAAAAAUAUUAAUAAAAAAUUACGUUCCUUAAUGAUUGAGUGGGCCAAAGAGGGAUAGACCUACGAGCAAAAGGUUAUGAUAUGUUUUGAUUAAGAACCCUGCCUCUUCAAUUAUUAAUUUAUAGUAAUUUAUAACAAUAAUUCAUAAAAAAAUAAUAAUUUUUUUAAUAAAAUAAGCUAUACCUAUCAAUAUCUCAAGUUAUUCCUUGUCCGUAGCUAAAAUUAAACUAUAUUUAGUGUCCAAAGAUUAAAGAUCCAUGACAAAGUAUGAUGUCAGUAAUUAUGUAUUAAUUGCGUGAUACAAAAAGGUGAAACAUCGUUUGUCCGUUCUCAUAUUUGCUUCCAUGUCCAAUGCUUUAAUUACAUUAUAUUAUAUGCGACAUUGACACGUUCUCAAGUUCACAGAAACACACAACACUAACAAUAUGAUCCAUCGACCAUUUUGUACCCACUUGUUUCAGUUUUCUUUGUGUGUUUCCGGGAAAAAAAAAAAGACUUUAUGUAGUACGAAGUUUGAUAAUUUUUUAGAAUUAUAGUAGAUUAUAAUGAAAAAAAUGACAGAUAACCUAUCCUUAAUGUCACUCUACAGGAUAUGAGUUUUUUACCACAUAAUACUCGUUUAAUUCUUUCGAAGUAAUUAGAUCUUUUUCUUCUUUCAAGAAUUUUAUAUGAUGCAUAAUACUGCUACUAAUUCUAAAUAGGAGAAGAAUUGAUUUAUACAGUCAUAUAUACCUAAAAAAAUAAAACAUGUCACCGUACUGUGCUGCCAAAUAUCGACGUUUGUAAAAGCAUUUCUUUUUCAAUAAUAAGAAGCUCUAAUUUAUUUUCAGAUAAAGAUGAAGAACAAAGUGACACGUAGAAUAGCACUUCUUUCAGCCUUUUGUUUUGUCCUUAUUCCGACCGCUGGCUUCAUGGAGUGACGCCAUAGCCGGAGUUCUUUUUGUCUUGUAUUAAGCGUCGGUGUAGUAGAUGACGUAGACGUCGAAGGCGGCGACGAGGCCCUCGACCGAGGACGUCACCAGCUCGCUCGCCAGCUUCCCCCAUGCGUACUGGAACACCCCCGUCCCACCCACGAUGGCCCGCUCCGCCUUCCCGGACGCGUCCAGUCUCCCGAUCGCCGUGAGCGUGCUGUCGGCGAACUCCCCCGNNNNNNNNNNNNNNNNNNNNNNNNNNNNNNNNNNNNNNNNNNNNNNNNNNNNNNNNNNNNNNNNNNNNNNNNNNNNNNNNNNNNNNNNNNNNNNNNNNNNNNNNNNNNNNNNNNNNNNNNNNNNNNNNNNNNNNNNNNNNNNNNNNNNNNNNNNNNNNNNNNNNNNNNNNNNNNNNNNNNNNNNNNNNNNNNNNNNNNNNNNNNNNNNNNNNNNNNNNNNNNNNNNNNNNNNNNNNNNNNNNNNNNNNNNNNNNNNNNNNNNNNNNNNNNNNNNNNNNNNNNNNNNNNNNNNNNNNNNNNNNNNNNNNNNNNNNNNNNNNNNNNNNNNNNNNNNNNNNNNNNNNNNNNNNNNNNNNNNNNNNNNNNNNNNNNNNNNNNNNNNNNNNNNNNNNNNNNNNNNNNNNNNNNNNNNNNNNNNNNNNNNNNNNNNNNNNNNNNNNNNNNNNNNNNNNNNNNNNNNNNNNNNNNNNNNNNNNNNNNNNNNNNNNNNNNNNNNNNNNNNNNNNNNNNNNNNNNNNNNNNNNNNNNNNNNNNNNNNNNNNNNNNNNNNNNNNNNNNNNNNNNNNNNNNNNNNNNNNNNNNNNNNNNNNNNNNNNNNNNNNNNNNNNNNNNNNNNNNNNNNNNNNNNNNNNNNNNNNNNNNNNNNNNNNNNNNNNNNNNNNNNNNNNNNNNNNNNNNNNNNNNNNNNNNNNNNNNNNNNNNNNNNNNNNNNNNNNNNNNNNNNNNNNNNNNNNNNNNNNNNNNNNNNNNNNNNNNNNNNNNNNNNNNNNNNNNNNNNNNNNNNNNNNNNNNNNNNNNNNNNNNNNNNNNNNNNNNNNNNNNNNNNNNNNNNNNNNNNNNNNNNNNNNNNNNNNNNNNNNNNNNNNNNNNNNNNNNNNNNNNNNNNNNNNNNNNNNNNNNNNNNNNNNNNNNNNNNNNNNNNNNNNNNNNNNNNNNNNNNNNNNNNNNNNNNNNNNNNNNNNNNNNNNNNNNNNNNNNNNNNNNNNNNNNNNNNNNNNNNNNNNNNNNNNNNNNNNNNNNNNNNNNNNNNNNNNNNNNNNNNNNNNNNNNNNNNNNNNNNNNNNNNNNNNNNNNNNNNNNNNNNNNNNNNNNNNNNNNNNNNNNNNNNNNNNNNNNNNNNNNNNNNNNNNNNNNNNNNNNNNNNNNNNNNNNNNNNNNNNNNNNNNNNNNNNNNNNNNNNNNNNNNNNNNNNNNNNNNNNNNNNNNNNNNNNNNNNNNNNNNNNNNNNNNNNNNNNNNNNNNNNNNNNNNNNNNNNNNNNNNNNNNNNNNNNNNNNNNNNNNNNNNNNNNNNNNNNNNNNNNNNNNNNNNNNNNNNNNNNNNNNNNNNNNNNNNNNNNNNNNNNNNNNNNNNNNNNNNNNNNNNNNNNNNNNNNNNNNNNNNNNNNNNNNNNNNNNNNNNNNNNNNNNNNNNNNNNNNNNNNNNNNNNNNNNNNNNNNNNNNNNNNNNNNNNNNNNNNNNNNNNNNNNNNNNNNNNNNNNNNNNNNNNNNNNNNNNNNNNNNNNNNNNNNNNNNNNNNNNNNNNNNNNNNNNNNNNNNNNNNNNNNNNNNNNNNNNNNNNNNNNNNNNNNNNNNNNNNNNNNNNNNNNNNNNNNNNNNNNNNNNNNNNNNNNNNNNNNNNNNNNNNNNNNNNNNNNNNNNNNNNNNNNNNNNNNNNNNNNNNNNNNNNNNNNNNNNNNNNNNNNNNNNNNNNNNNNNNNNNNNNNNNNNNNNNNNNNNNNNNNNNNNNNNNNNNNNNNNNNNNNNNNNNNNNNNNNNNNNNNNNNNNNNNNNNNNNNNNNNNNNNNNNNNNNNNNNNNNNNNNNNNNNNNNNNNNNNNNNNNNNNNNNNNNNNNNNNNNNNNNNNNNNNNNNNNNNNNNNNNNNNNNNNNNNNNNNNNNNNNNNNNNNNNNNNNNNNNUCGGACGUCACCAGUUUGCUCACCACGUUCCCCCACGCGAACUGGAACACCCCCGUCCCUCCCACGAUGGCCCGGUCCGCCUUCCCGGAGGUGUCCAGCCUCCCUAUCACCGUGAGCGUGCUGUCGCGGAAGUCCCCGGCCGUGAACACCAGCACCAGCGGUAUCAGCGACGACUCGUCCCGCUGCGACGCGUGGAAGCUCACGCCCUGCGCCCUCCCGACUUCGGUCGAACGCUUAGAGGGGCCGGUCCUCAGCACGGCGUCGAAGAUGUCGACGUCCCCGAAGGUGUUGGGGAGUCUCAUGUUCACCACGGUCACGGUGGUGUUGUCGGGGCCGAGAAAGGUCUCGUGGAAGUAGACGCGGAAGUGGAUUCUACUCUGCCGGCCGAGUUCGAACUCGGAGGUCACCGGGAAGGCUGUGGCAGCAGCCAGGAGGAGGAAGAAGACAAGGAGGAAGUAGAGAUGAGAGGAGCUGUGUGGGGAUGAAGCCAUGGCUGGGAUGACCGAAGGAUCGAAGUGAGGUGGGUACAACGCUGGAUCAGGAACAUGUAUUUAUAGAGUAAUGUCUGUGUCAUGCGUCGUCAACAAAUGCCAGCUUCCAACCAAAUCUCAUUAUCAUGUCUACAUAAAAUACUCAAACGAAUAUUACUCUUACAGGUGAAGGUCUCCGCGCAGGGAAGAAGAUACCAUCUAGUAACACGAUGUACACACCAUAUAGUCUUCUCCAUGAAUAUAUAUAUAUAUAUAUAUAUAUAUAUAUAUAUAUAUAUAUAUAUAUGAUGUCGAGCAAUGGAGAUGGGUAACUGAGAGAUGGAUGGAUGAUAGUUGCAAUCAAUGGGCGAUGAGGAUAGUGUUGCGUCUUCUGCAAGUGCCAACUGGCCACCUGUAGCUCGUCAAUUUGCUUGUUAAUUAACGAACCACAUUGGCAACGCUAUCUUUCUUUAUGUGUUUCAACACAGAUGUACGCGGUUGGCUGAUGGCUGUCGCUCCCGUUUGUUCGCAUCUUCGGUUGUUGACAUGUGGAAAUGAAGUGUUGGUUCCCAUGCGUGAUCGCUACCUCACCACUCGACUUAAAGUCGCGACAUAAUUAAUGACCGACGGUGCGAUGCAAAACCUUCACUCGCCAAUCAAGUCAUUCGUGACUCAUGUGGGGCCAUUAACCAUCUUUUUGUAAUCAAAGAAAAGCUCACAUGAUGUGUUCUCAUAUCAGCAUACCAAAUGAAUAUUAUGUGAAUUUUAAUAUACAUACAUAUUCUCUCCUGUCAAAACAUAUCCUAAACUCAUGUUUAUUUUCACCAUUAUAUAUAUGAUCACGAGACCAAAAAACAAAAAGGGAUGGGAUGACAUAAUGCAUGUCAAUGUUUCCAUGUGAAUCACGCCUGCAUAAUCCUUCACCUACCGAAGGUGUGGUUGGUUGUCAAAGUUCAUCAUUCUCAUGUAAGGUAUAUUUUUUUUAGCAAAUCGUCAAAUGCCAGCGCAUGCCGUGUUAUCUUUCAAAGUGCAUAGUUGACCCAAUCCGUGUGUAAUGUCUCCACCUUGGUUGUUUCCUCACGCAAUGCAUUUCUUUAUCAGUAUACGUAUACUUCACCUGUUCAUAACAUUCAUAUUAAAGCUUAUGUAGGUGCAGCGAAAUUAGUUAAGAUUAAUAUUUUUUGAAUGACGUAAAUAAUUUGUGAAAAAUAAAAGUAUUAUUUUGGAUAAAAUAAAUAGUAAAAAAGAGGAUCAAAUUGAUUAUGGAAACGUCGCAUUUUCACGAGUCUUAAAGCAGCAGAUUGCUUCAGUAAGUAAUAUAUAAUUUUGGAUAAAAGUAAAUACUAAAAAAGAAGAUGAUCAAAUGAAUUAUGGACACAUGUUAUAUCUACCAAUCUUAAGGUUGCAGAUUGCAACAGUAACUAACGACCACGAUGAGAAGGAAGGGGGAAAUGAUGAUGCGAAGAAUCUGCAGAGACGGCUCUCCUCUCUGUCCUCUUUGGUAGCAACGAGCGCGAUAUGGUGAUCAAGGUCCGAUCUCUUACUAUUCCUUCUCGUCCAAUUUUCCCAAUCUUGGUUAGAGUUUUAAUUUGAUGGAGUGCUUGACGCCGUCUUGUAGUUUUGAUGUCAAAUUCUUGGUUCGAUCAAAAUCUUUGAUGGUCCUCGUCGAUGAUCAUGCGAUCUAGUUGCUCUAUGAUCAACGAAAAGGAAACUUAAUAUUAUAGUAUUUGAUUGGGAUAAUCCUAACACUUGUCAGCUCUUUUAUCAUAUAGGCCAAAGAAGCAACACCUAAGCAUCAGCGUGGGAGUCACUGCUCCCCGCAAUCGCCGGCACCUAAACUCAUCUAGUUUGAGUUGCAUCACUGGAUAAAUCUGAGGACUCUAUAUAUUAAAAAAAAUCCACCUUUUAUAUUGUUACUGUCAUAUGAUAUUGGGGUAGAAACUAAUAAAUGACACGGUUACUAUAUAUAUAUAUAUAUAUAAUCUCGUUGAUGUGGACAUAAUAUUGCAUGUGACAUCAACUAAAUGAACACCUAAAAUCUAAAAUGCGUUUGUACCUAUUAAGUUUUGUUUUCCAACAUAUAACUUAAUUUAAGAGGGCAACGCACCAACUAUGAUUGAAGUAUUAUCCAACAACAUUCACUAAAUCACUUGAGGUUUUAAGAGUCAAAUUUAGAUAAGGACUACGACAAAAUGAAACUCAAUCAUGAAACUUAAAACCUCUAAAUAGGAAGAAAUGCAACAUCAUUUGGUUCAGUAAGUACACAACAUUCCCGUAUUAAUCUCUAUAUUGCAGCCUAGCCUACUAAUUUAAAGGCACUGUAACGUUACGAUGUAAUCAACCUAAAAAUAGGCCCCUUCCUCAGCACCACUAAUUGCAUGUAGCCUAGCCAUCAUCCAAAACAUCUUCUUAUAAGGUUCUGUAAGGAGACCCAUAUAGAAGUGUUUAUGUGCCCGCAUAUUAUCAACAUGGGCCGUGCCACGAUGCAGAAAGCCUUACCCAUGCAACAUUAUUAAAUCAUUCCUAUGCAAAGGAAUUCAUGAAUCACAAUAAAUAGCUACUUACCUCCUUGAUAACAACUAACAAUGCAGACGAGACCUAAAAAGGUCUAAAUUAUAUGACUCAUAGGUUUAAUCGAUAGCAACUUAGUUUCCUAAGCACCAGCAUGCGAGUCAUUUGUUUCCUAACAAGUGAUCUGAUUGUUAGGACAUUCCUUUUUCAUGUAUGAAUAAUAAUAAAUAAAUAUUAUAUUUCUAUCUUUAUAUGUAAAUAAUAAUAAUUAAAUAUUUAUUUACCUUUCAGAAUAUCUUAUCUUUCUCCUAUGUAAGCAUAAUGUGAGUAUUAAAUAAUAUAUUUUUCGAAAAGAUGAUAUCGAGGAAUGGAUAGUCGAGGAGAGACAAGAUCCUCUAUUCAGUUCUAAUCAAUUUUCAUUUAUAUUUUGAAAUCCUUGAUAUUAAAAUUGUUAUGAUCAUAUGAUGCAUAAUAAUAUUUUAAUUUUAAAAUUUUAUGAUUAGUAAAUAAUGAUAAUUGAUUUGUGACGUUAGAAUGAUUAUUUAAUUUAUAAUGAUCUUUUAAGCCUAAGUGACUUUCAAGAUUGAUUUAAUUAUUAAAACUUUUAUUUUUAAAUUAACAUAAUAAUUUUAAUUUAUUUAAUUAUAUAUUUGUAUUUCAAUAAUUAGAUAUGAAUUUGUAUGGCUUAAUUAGUUUUAAAUUUAAGAUUAUGAAUUUAAAUUAUUCUAAUUUAUAAAUUUAAAUUAUUUUUAAUAAUUUAAAAUAAUAAAAAUUAAUUUGAUAAGAGGAGUCUAACUUGAAGUUUGACUUGAGUCAAGUUGAUACGCUAAAUCAGGUCAAUCCAACCCUUGUAUUAAUUUUAUCAUAAUUCAUGUAUUUUUAGAUUUAUAAAAUAUAUAAAUUUAUAUUUAGCUCAUUAUAAUCGUAUUAUUCGAAAUAUAUUUUUUAAACUAUAUUAUACAUAUAGUAAGAUAUAUGAAUAUUAUUUUACAGUGAAUUAAAUUUAUAUUUAUCAGAUUAAAAUUAAAAAUAAAGGUGUUAAUAAAAAAAUAUGUUCCUAAAUGAUUGAGUGUUCCAAAGAGCAAUAGCCCUAUUAAAUUGAGAUUAUAGGGUCAUUAGAUGCCUUAGUCAACACUACCUCUUGAUUUAUUGAUUUAAGUAAUUUAUAAUAAUAAUUUAUAAAAAAAAUUUGAUAAAUUUUUUAUAAAAUAAACUAUACUUAAACUAACAAUAUGUCAAGUUAUUCCUUGUUCGUAGUAGCUAAAAUUCAACUAUAUUUAGUGUCGAAAGAUUAGAGAUCCAUGACAAGGUAUGAUGUCAUAAUUAUGUAUUAAUUGCGUGAUACAAAAGGGUGAAACAUCGUUUGUUCGUUCUCAUAUUCGCUUCCAUGUCCAAUGCUUUAAUUAUAUUAUAUUAUAUGGGACAUUGACAUGUUCUCAAGUUCACAUAAACGCACCACGGUGACAGUGGUGUUGUCGGGGCUGAGAUAGGUCUCGUGGAAGUAGACGCGGAAGCGGAUUCUCUUCUGGAUGCCGAGUUCGAACUCGGAGGUGACGGGGAAGGCCAUGGCAGCAGCGAAGAGGAGGAAGAAGACGAGGAGGUGGUGGAAAGGAGAGGAGCCGUGUGGGGACGAAGCCAUGACUAGGGUGGUAGAUGAACAAGGAACGUGAAAGUGAGAUGAUCACAACGCUGAAGGAGGGAAAGUGUCUUUAUAGAGCAUUGGCUUAUGUCUAUGUCAUCAUCAUACAUAUCAUAUUUAUCAUAGGUAAGCAUGUAUGUACACAUCAUCAUAUUAAUAUUUAAGAGAUUACAAUUAAAUAAGAUUUUGAAUCAUUAAUCUUUGAUACAUAAGUCUUUUAGAUGUAAGAAUAUCUCAGACAAGUUUUUUAAACAUCAAUCUUCGAUAAGUGAACUUUCAUCAUAUUGAAAAUAUUGAAGGAGUCCGAUUACAUAUAAUAAAAAGAAUAAUCAAGCCAAGUUUGCCGGAUCUAAGUUGUCAAGUGACACCACGUUUAGCCUUCCUCUUGAAAGCCGGUCGCUUUCCAAAAUCGCCGGCCGGCCCACUUCGCUCUCCGCCUUCAACACGCAACCUCAAAGAAGAUGAAGCCAACGUCAUGAAUGAUGUCGACUGCAGUCUUCUCCUCCAUAUCUUCUCAUCUUAGGACAAUACCUUCCACACCAUGGUAUCAUAGGUUGAUCGGGCGUUGGUUUCCUCCGCACACUAUCUUUUCUCGACGCUGUAGUUGAUGGUGAGGCUUCCAUCACAUUUGUUCCACCUUUGUCGUGUAACCUAAUUCUGAAAGAACAACAACUCUUUGAUCACUGCAUGACUGUGAUUCUUGCAGUCAUGUAAUAAUUUACUGUGCUCUGCCGACCGAGUUCGAGCUCGGAGGUGACCGGGAAGGCCGUGGCAGCAGCCAGGAGGAGGAAGUCGAGAUGAGAGGAGCUGUGUGGGGAUGAAGCCAUGGCUAGGAUGACACAAGGAUCGAAGUGAGGUGGGUACAACGCUGGAUCAGGAACAUGUACAGAAAAACCUUUAAGUAUGGAACUCAAAUUAAGCACGUUCAUUUGAGAAGCCAAAUAUGAGAAUAUAUUUAUCAUCCGAUUUAAGAUCAAACUUAUCAUCCGAAACGGUUUUCGUCGAAAUCAAUUUUUAUCGUACGAAGGUUUUUUUGAACCGACGUAAUUUUACCGCUGCACUAAUUCACCCUCCCCUCUUAAUGUCGACCCAUUUCCUAACAGGCCUAUGUAGUUUUGGUUUGGACUCUAGUUUGACUUGAUUGUUCGAACCAUAGUAAUUUCCCACCGGAGCGGGGCGGAGCAUAGCCCUUCCCAUUCCGUUUUAUUCCCCAUCCCACCAAAUUCCACAACGUGGGGGCGGGAAUUCCCAUCGCGGUGGAAAUUAUGUGGUUCUCCCGGUUCUUCUAACUAAAUCAUUUUUUAUUUUUAAAAAUAAAAUUAUUAAUAAAAUUAAUUAAUAAUAUCAAAUAUAUAAUAAAAUUUUCAUGCCAUAACAAUAUUCAAAUACAAAUAUAUCGAAAUAUAAAAAUAUGUUAAAUAAAACCACAAUCAAAUAAAUCUAAAUACAACCAAAUAAAUCUAAAAAUUAAUAAUUUUCUAUAUUAAUCCUAGUUUUUCUAAGUUAUAUUUGUGUAACAUUAAUCCUGCAUAAAUAAAAAUAUAUAUAAAGUUCCUAUUAAUAAAAACUUAAAAAGAACUAUUGAUAAAAAGAGACAAAUGCAAAUUAGGAUUUUGAACUUUUAGUAAUUUUUAUUUACUUUUUAUAUUAUUUUUUUAAAUAAAAAAUUUAAAUAAAUUAAUAAAUUAAAUAUAUUAUUCGUUUAGUAGUUAAUGCAAAAAGUUAGAGUUAUAGGUAUUAGAUUCAAUUCUUGAAUAUGUAUUUUAUAUUUAUAUUAUUAUUAACUAAUAUAUAUUAUAUAUAAUAUAAUAAUAUAGGAGUGCUCUAAAGGUCCCUAUUCUAUUACCAUGCUCAUAAUAAAAAAUACCUCAUAUCUUCGUUUAUUUCAGUAAAAAAAUAUAUCAUCAAUAAUAAGUGGUCCCCAUAGAUAAUAUAAUUUGGAGAGGUACCUUAAUAUUUAAAAUAAUAAAGAAAUUAGACAAUUAUAUUAUUGAUAGAAAUAUCCUUUAGGUUAAUAAUAACUAACCUUCUUUGAGAUACCCUUGAAAUGAUUCAGAAUGGUAAGCGUCCUUAUCCCUAAUAUUUCACUACAUUUUUUAGUCUUACAAUCGACCGACAUACAAUAAAAAUUCCUUGAGUAUAUCGCCUUUAAGGGAUAACCAUUUACUCUUAAUAAAUUUGGCACUUUACUAAGUUCUUGAAAUUAUUUAUUAACUCAAGCAUUAGGUGAUCUUUAUCAUGCAUGUCCUUGCCAUUAUUUUAUAAGAUCUCAGCUCAACUAUUUGGUGUUCUUGAUAGCAAAUCCAUUUGUGAUAGACUCGAUGAAGAAUCAUGGUUAGAUUCAAAUCAUUCUUCAUGUUAGAUAAUCAAAUUUUAUGUUAACGAUUAUAAAAUGUGAAAGAUUUUUCAAUCAAUAAAUUAACUAGAAUAAUUGAAUGACCAAAUGUUGAUGGGAGGAAUACAUACAUGUCAUUUUGCCAAAGCACGUGAUUUAUUUGGAAUUUGAUGUAACUCAUUUGUAUUAUGGUGAUUACAGUUUGUGACAAAUGUAAAGAUUCCAAAAAGUAAAUUCUGAUGAUGAGAUUCGGAUAUGCAUGUGUUAGAUCUCUUAUGAAACUUAAUUAGAAUUAUCUUAUUUAAAUAGUGACUUUAAUAUUUAGUAAAUAAAUAUGUAUCCAGGUAACUUGGAUGAUCAUAUUGUAAAAUAUACAAAUAAAUACAGUUUUUAUUUAUUUUAAGAAAAAGAUAAAGUACAAAGUGACAAGUAAUUAUAUACGACAUUGGCACAUAAACACACAACACACACACAGAGAUAUACAUAUAUGUAUUUAUAUAUUAUAGUAACGCCAUAGGCGGAGAUUCUUCGUGUCAUGUAUUAAACUUUGGUGACGUCUCGUAAUCAUGCGAUGGCACUGAGAUGGAGAUCGUUGUAGUAGACGACGUAGACGUCGUAGGCGACGACAAGCUUCGCGAAAGAGGACGUCACCGUCUCGGUCACCAUCUUCCCCCAUGCGUACUGGAACACCCCCGUCCCUCCCACGAUGGCCCGCUCCGAGUUCCCGGACUCGUCCAGUCUCCCGAUCACCGUGAGAGUGCUGUUGACGAACUUCCCCGCCGUGAACACCAGCACCAGCGGUACCAGCAUCACCUCCUCCUGCAUUGAUAUGUGGAAGCCCGCGCCCUGCACCCUUCCGAGGUAGGUGGAGCUUUCGUCGGGGCCGACCCUCAGCACGGCGUCGUAGAUCUCGAUGUUCCCGAAGGUGUAGGGGAGGCUCAUGUUCACCACGGUGACGGUGGUGUUGUCGGGACCGAUAAAGGUCUCGUGGAAGUAGACGCGGAAGUGGAUUCUCUUCUGGAUGCCGAGUUCGAACUCGGAGGUGACCGGGAAGGCCGUGGCAGCUGCCAGGAGGAGGAAGAAGACGAGGAGGAAGUAGAGAUGAGAGGAGCUGUGUGGGGAUGAAGCCAUGGCUAGGAUGACACAAGGAUCGAAGUGAG
RNAcentral lists this long non-coding RNA (58892 nucleotides) under Musa acuminata (dwarf banana). Its description in RNAcentral is "long non-coding RNA (MACU_LNC006073)". Lineage: Eukaryota; Viridiplantae; Streptophyta; Magnoliopsida; Zingiberales; Musaceae. The record is from RNAcentral.